UAGCAUCCCCACCAUCAUCCACGAUCAGAUCAGGUCCACCAGUGGGACCCCAGUCGAGAGCUCUCUCAGUACACCACCAGUAUUCCUGUAGAGUCUCACCUUUCCAGGCGAAUACAGAGGCGGAUUCACGAGCGAUGGCGGCGGCGGCGUGGUCUUGGGUUGAGAAAAUGUUGCAAGAGCACCAACGGACUUCGGCUCCAAGGGCAGUUAGUGUUUCGAUAAGAACAGCGGUUUGGAUCGUCAUGUGGAGAGAACCAGUGAUUUUGGCUCCUUUGAAAGGCUGGGCAGGGCCGAACUCGGCUCUGCAUGACAUGAGACCGGGCAUUUCCACUUCGGCCAACUCAAUCUCGAGACGACCGAAGUCGGCCUGGGACAUGUCCUUGACCUUGUACUCACGGCCGCUAGAAGUUUUCUCGACUAAAAGAGCCAUGGCUAUCAAGAAACGAAGUAAAGAGUAAACACAGAACACAGUCUCCGAAAGAAGUGAUAACGAGGAGAGAGUGGCUGAGCGGCGAGGGAUGAGAGGCAAAGGAUGUUAUAAAUAGGAUAGGUUGAGAUGAAAUUGAACGGUCAAGAUUGGAUGGGUUGAGGUUGGUGGAUCUCGGUAAAAAGUUAAAAGAUUUGGCAUUGGGCUGCGUGUGGUAGACAAAGCGUAAUAUGAUUGAAAAUUGAUAUAAUUAAAAAAUAUAAAAAUAAUAUAAUUUUAAAUUUUAAAAAAUUAUAAACAAAUUUAAUAAAAUUAAAAAUUAUAUUUUAUAUUUUUAUAUAGUUAUAAUUUUUAUAUAAAAUAUAAUAUAAAUAUAAUAUUUUAUAUUAUACGAAUUAUUAAAUUUAAUAUUUAAAAAAAAUUAUUGAAACUUGAAAAUUAUGUUAAAAUAUUGACAUAUAUUUAUUAAUUUUUAAUUUUUAAUUUUUAAUUUUUAAUUUUUAAUUUUUAAUUUUUAAUUUAAUUUUUUGAUUUAUUUAUGCUUUAUUUAAAGAGUGGGGGCAAAUGAUUAAAAUUUAGUGUUUAAAUGUAAGGCUAAAUUUAAACUUUUAUAAUUUAUAAGUCUGAAAUUUUUCAAUGAAAAAAUAUGUAAAUCUCCUUGUAAAUCAACUGUUUAUUUUGAUUUUAAAAAUGAGAUUUUUUUUAUUUUUGAAUUUUUUUCGACAAAAAAAAAUAAUAUACUCUAGUUAAUGUGACAUGUUACAAUUCUUUUUAUGAGAAAAUCAUCAAUGAAAGAAUUAAAAAUUUGUAUUUACAUUAAAUUUUGAAAACUAAAAGACAAAUCCAUGAAAUAAAUAAAUAUAUUACUUAAAAUAAUAUAAUUUUGAUAAAUAAUUCUCUAGCUUUUAAAGUAUUUUUCCUUUAUAAGAUAGAUUGAUGCAUGCUUGGUAAUUAAUGCUCACCACCAUUACUUGAUGGCGUAUCCAACAUGCAAACUCAGGCAAACAAGUGUGGUUAAACGAUCCUAACAGCCACCAAGAAUAUUUAAUUUGAAAAAAGAUUAUACGUAAGUCUCUUCACAACUGCCAAUUUAUAAAAGAAUUAUGUGAUGUAAUUUAGAUAGGUUUUCUUUUAAUAUUGAAAAUCUACUAUCAACUUAAUUGCAUUUAAAACUUAUUCUAAAGCAAAAUUAAGGCAAUUCAACAUUUCUAAUUCUUUGGUUGUAAAAAUUUGACAGUGAAAUAACCACCCCCACACUAUUUAGUGCUUGAGAUAAUGCAAAAGCCAAAGUCAAUUUUACUCUAAUUAAUUAACAAUUUCCAUUUUCUAUAAAACAUAUAGAGGUAGCAAGAAAAAUUCAAACCAGCACCAAUCUAAUAUGUAUAUAUAAAUAAAUAUAUAUUUAUAUAUUAUAACAUACAAAGUUAUAUGGUAAAAAUUGCUUAUGUGGACAUUUAAGAGGAUAAUUUCUUUUUUUGACAUAUAAAAAAAUUCCUAAAAUUUAUCUACAACGACACCUAAGAUAUUUCUUAAUUUUAAGCUAUUUAUAAAAAAUAUAUAUUUAAAAUAUUAUUUAAUUAUCUAAAACUUUCAAAAUUUAAAUGAAUGAUCACUUUUUAUAUACUAUUUAAUUAUCCAAAUACAUAUAUGGAUAAUUUUUAAAUUAGUAACAAAUUCUAAUUUAGAGAUAUUAUUUUUUAGGAUUUUCUAAUAAUCUAAAUAUAUAUCUUUUUAAAUUUAAAAAUUUCAUAGAUAUGUUAUCUCUUAAAUUGAUUUACAAAAUAAGUACAUUUAAUAAAUUAUUUAAAUUCAAAAUGAAAAUCUAUAAAAAAAAUUAAAAAUUUGUACAAAUUUUGAAUUCAAAAAUAUCAAAUUUAGAAUUUUUCUUUCCUUUUUAAAUUUAGCGAAUUUUUAAGAAUAUAUAUUUAUAUGCAUCAUAAAUUUUAAAUACAUAUCUCCACUAAAAUUGAUUAGAUUUAUCUUUUAUUAUUUUGAAUUUGAAAGACAAAUUUUAUUUUUUAAUUUUUUUAUCGUUAAAUUAUUUUAAAAAUUCAAUUUCAAUCACAGUUAUCCAUUAUUUUAUCAUUAUUAUUUCCAACUAUGCAUCUGAAAUAGCAAUGAAGGGCGUCACUAAAAUUUUUUUAUUGUUUCACUUAGUCACAAUAACCCAUCAUUUUUUUUUUUGUUUGAGAAAAAUUAUAAUUUGUAACUAUAUGAUUUAUAUGUUUGUUAAAUAAUCAGUUGAUUUGUAUUUUGUUGGAUGAUUUACAGGAAGAGCUAGAGAUUCAAUUGUCUAAGAUAAGAGCAAAGGAUUGAGGACUUUUUUUCUAUAAUCAGUUACUUUUACAUCAAUUACCUUUACAUCAAUGUCAUUUUUUCUACAAAUUGAACAAUAAUAAGGUAUCAUAUUACAUAUAAUAGAAAUGGCCCGUUAAUUAUUACUUUGUAUAAAAAUUUGUAAUUUUUUAUAUUUCCUCCUCAUUAAAGUCAUAACACCCAUUUUAUUUAUAAAAAAAAAUUGAGAUAAACUGAAAUUCAAUUUAAUUUCUAUCUUUUUAUAUUUUUUAGAUUUUUUUCUUUCUUUAAUAUUAUUUAUUGUAUAUAUUAAAUUUUAUCAAUUUUUAAUUAAAAAUCAUUUUUAUUAUGAUUUGAUAUCUUAAUUAUAUUUAAUUAUAUUAUAUAUUUUUUGAACAUAUAAAUGAUUAAAUAAUAUUAAUUUAUAUUUUUAUUAAUAUUUAAAUAAAAUAAAAAUAAUCCGUGCAUCGUACGGGUUGCAAACUAAUUUGUUAUUAUAUUAUAAGUAAAUAUUAAAAUUUGUCACUCUACUUUAAUUUCAUUAAAUUUUAUCAUUAUUCUUUUAUUUUUUGUUGAAUUUUGUAACUAUAUUUUCAUUUUUGAUGAUUUUUAGACCAAAACUGAUGAAAAUAGAAUAUCCCAUUAAUAUAUUAAAAAUAAAUUUUGAAUAAAACAUAAAAUAUGAUGUGAAUAUUUUUUGUGUAGCAAAAAUUUUUCUUUUACAAAUUUUUAUAUUAAAAUCAAUAUUUUUAAUAUAAUAAUUUAUCAAAUAAAUAAAAUUAUUUAUUUUAUUAUAAAAUUGUAUAAAAAUAAAUAAAUAAUAACUUCUUCUAACGUGUUAUGUCACAUUUAUAUUCUUAUUACAUGUGAAACAUCCGUGUACUAUUGUAUAUUUUUAUCAAAAUUUAUUUUAAAUAUUUUAACAUAAUAUUUUACGAAAUAUUCUAUUUCUAUUAACUUUGAUCCACAAAUUAAAAAAAAAGUACAAUGAUAAAUUUAAUAAAAAAAUGAAAGUAAAAUUCAAUGAAAUAAAAGUAAAUGGCAAAAUUCAACAUUCACUUAUUGUACAAUAAUAAAUUUAUUUUUUAUCUCAAAAAUAAUUAUUCUUAUUUUUUUAAUUUAAGAUUAAAUAAGCUUUAGAAAGUAAAUAUUAAUACAAACUUUUGCUUCUUUUUUUUUUCACACGUCUCAUAAGAUCUUUUUUAAUACCUUUAUAUAAUGUUAUUUUAUAUGGUAUUCCAUCAUUUAACAAAUAUUGAUCCUUUGGUAGGUUUAAAAAAUAAGAGUUUAAUAACAACGAUAACAACAAUAAUAAUAAAUGUAAAAAUUAAAAAAAGAAGUAUACAAUAUAACAUAUUUAUUCAAAAAAUAGAUUUAUAAUAUGUUAUUUUAUGCAUAUAAUAUUUUUUUUCAUAUCCCAAAAUCUAAUUCAUGAAAGCUAGUAUCAAAACACUUUUUGAAUGCUUUUCCUUUGAGAUUUAUUUUAAUUGCUAGAUCAACAACACAAAAAAGCAUACAUAUUUGCUUCACAACUUUAUAAAUUCUUAAUGAAACAAAGUUACUUUUAACCUAUUCCUAAUAAAGAUGUUGUUGAACUUGAGAUUUAAUUUAAAUGAUUUAUUUACUUUUAAAAUAUAAAUUCUCAUAAAAUUAUAGUUCAAUUCUUGACUAUUGUAAUUUUCAUUCCCUAACUAAGAUGGCCUUGUAAAAAAAAGUGGUGUUGAAUCUUUCAAGUUAGAUGAAAUGAAAUGAUUAUUUGUAGUCAUUAAUCUUGACUAUAAAAGAGGAUAAUAAUGGUCUUGCCGUGUAUAAUUAUAGUUUUAAUUAAAAUUUCAUUUAGAUGAACAUGAGAUUAAUUACUAUAAGAUUGAAAAUAAUAAUAAAAUUUAUUCUAACUAUGAUUGAAAAAAAAAUUACUAAAGCUAUGAUUGAAAAAAAAAUUUUAAUGAAAAAUUUAUAUUGACUUGAUCUUAUUAAAAUUAACUUUUGAAUUCAACUUAAGAUACGGUAAGUUUAAUGGGAUCCAAUCGGAUACUAAAUUGGUAAUGAAGGGGGUAGCUAGAAUGAUUUUGCUUGAUUAUCUAUUUUCAAACAAAAAUGAUAUUGCUUUAUAUUUAACCUUACUAUACAUACCCAAUUUAGCUGCCUUAAAUACAAAACAUUAGAAAGAGUCACAACUCAUAAUGUUUAAUUUUAUCAAAAUUCAUUCAUUUUCAUAUUUAAUAAAAAUAAUAAUAAUGAAAUAAAAGCUUGUAAUUUUAAUUGUAUGUUAUAGAAUAUCAUAAUUCAUUUUUGUUAUUGAUGACUUAUUUGAAUAUAAUCUCUAUAAAAGAUAUAUCAUAAUUUUUAUUAGGCGAUUGUAUUUUCUUUAUAAAAAAAUUUAAUUUUUUUAAUCGAAAAAAUGAAAUUUUGAAUCUUAUUUUUUUAAGCAAAAAAUGUACAAAUAAUUAUUAAAUCAAAUAUUCAAAUAUAUAAACUCUGAUUUUAUUUGCUUCGCAAGAUUAUAAAAUCUCCCAAUCAAUUAUUCAGUAUUAAACAAUGAAGUUAUAAAAUUUGUUUUUCUCUUUAAAAAUAAAUGCCUUCAAAAAUCUUGGAUAAGAGACCGGUGAUGUCCCCAUGUUGCUAAAAGAAAUGACUGCCAACACUUGAGUGACUGUUAUAAUACUUUUUUUUUUUCAACCGUAAAAGAAUUAAUUUUUAAAAGUCUUACUACCCACAAUUCCAAUUUUUUGCUGGUCUCUUUUUUAUUUUUAUUUUUUAAUUUAAGGAAAUUUGGAUCUAAACUAGAAGUACUGUAAGGCACUGCUCCUUCCUCAGAUAUCAUCGAAUCAAGUUAAGAUCUUUUUCAAUUGGCUAGUUGAGUGGGACCCUUAGGCUUUUGUAGUAUAAAAAAGUCAACACAAAAAGCAAAGUAUUAGUCUGUAGAACGGUGUAAUUGAUAUAUUUGUAUUUGUAAAUUAUUUAAAUUUAAUUUUUAAAAAGAUUUAAAUUUGAUUGAAUUAUUUUUAAAUCGAAUUUAAAGUUAAGUAAUUUAAUUUAUUGAUCAAAUCAAAUUCGAAUAUUUUUAUAUUUGAUUUAAGUAAUUCGUGAACUUAAUUAAAUAUUUAUAUUUUAAUAUAUUUAAUUAUUUUAUUAAUAAAAUAUUUCGAAUUUGAGUUAAAAUUUGAGUACAAAUAAUUGAAUAAUUAUAAAUAUAAAAAUAAAAUUUAUUUUUAUAUGUUAAUUAAAGUUAAUAGAAUGAAUUUAAAUAAUUAAAUUUUUAUCUCGAAUCUAAUUCGAACUCAAAUUUAAUAUUAUAUGGAUUCAAAUUUGAUCGAUUACAUUCUUAUAUCUGUAAUCAUUUGAUAAAUAUUAAGGGAUGGUUUGGAAUUGUUGCUAAUUUUGCAUUUUAUAUUGAAAAUUUUUUAUUUUAUUUUGUUUUGUUAUUUUUAAUUUAUUGAAUUUAAAAAAUACUUUGAACAUAACAUGUUUAUUACAAAAAAUUGUCAACAAGUGCUAAUGAGAAAAAGUGACUAAAGCAUUUAAAGUGGCAGGGUAAAUCCUUUUAUUAAUAAAUUUUUAUUAAUCUUUUAAUUUUGAAAUAUUAAAGUUGACACAAAUACGUUUUUAUAUAUGAAUGAUCACUACAAGAGAUAAUAAUAUCUAACACUUUUGUAAAAUUUUAAAAGAAAAAUUAUUUGAUAUAUUGACAAUAAAAUUUUUUAAUUUUAAAAAUAGAAUUAAAAUAGUAACACAUGUAUUUUUAAAAAAUUAAAAAAAUUAAUAAAAAACAGAUAUGUAUAAUCUUUUUAAUUUCAUUUGUAAAAUUAAAAAAAUAUUAUUAUCAGUAUAUUAAAUAAUUUUUUAUUUAAAAAAUAUUAUUUUUGUGUUUUCCAAUUUUCUAAAACAUUUUGGUUUUUAAAAUAAAAAAAAAAUACACUCACUAAAAAUAUUUUAAUUUUUUUAAGAAAUUGAAAAUGAAAACAUAAAACACGAAAAAAAAAUUCCAAACAUACCUACAAAAAUUAAAAUAUCUGUGAAAGAAUGUAAAAAGUAGGCGACAAGAUUUACUUUUGUGGGGCAUACCUAUAAAACAUGUAUUAGUAAAGUUCAAAUAAAAAAUAAUGCAAAAUUUAAUUCAAGUAAUUUAUAUAAUUAUUUUUCAUAUACAAUAAAUGUAAAUUUUAAAUUUUAAUAUCUAACUCGAAAAUUAAAUUCAAAUUAAAAAAUCGAAGAAAAACAAAAUUUAUCAAUUGAGUUAAUAUUAUCAUUAAUAACUAAUUUUAUCUUAUUUUGCAUUUCCGGAGUCCAUUUGUGUUUUUUUUUUGCUUAGAGUCUUUAGUAUUUUUUAUUAUAUAUAUAUAUAUAUAUAAAUCUAAUUUAAAAUGCAUCGUCUACAUAUGUCAACAACAAAUUAUGCCGCUCCAAAAAAAAUUAAAGAUGAAAUAAUUUGAUUAAUAUUUCAUGAUAUUUAAGAUUUUAUUUAUAGAUAUACAUAUUUGUAGAGAUUUUAUUAAUCAAAGAAGGUGUACAUACAUUUGCUGACCCUCCUUUUCUUAAUUUUUAUUGUGUUUUUUUUUUUUUGCAAAAAAAAAUUCAAGGUAAAUAAACUAUUUAGUUCUCAAGUUAAUAAAAUAUAUCGUAUCUGAUAGUUUAAGAUAAAUAGCUACAUGUUCUGCAUUCAAAAUAAUUUUAAUAAGUAACCACCAAUAAUACUUGAACUUAAAAUUUUUUUUAUCGAAAAAGAUAAAUUUAUUUAUGAGUUGCUGAUGGGAAUUUAAUUUGAUUAAAAAUUAAACCAAUAUGACCUAACAUAUACGUCUUAAUUUAAAAAAAAAAAAUUGGUGAAUUCCAUCAAAUCUAUUUUUAAGAAAAAAUUGACACAAAUCAAUCCCUGGCUAUCCAAUUUUGGUUUUUUCAAAAACCAAAGAAAUAAUAAUAGCAAAGGUUUCAUUUGAAAGAAUUUAACGGCCUCUUUGGUGAAGCAUUCAUCUUGAAUUGAGUUGCUUGUUUUUGCUUAAUUUCUUUUUUUCAGGCCUGUUAAUGGAAAUUAAAACAAGAAUAUUGGACAGAAAUAGACCAUAGAGCUCAAAAAACCAACAAGCAAAUGCAAAGCUAUAUCAAAUAUAAUUAUAUCCCUAAACUAAAACUCUACCAUUCACAUAAAGCCAAAUAUGAUCAUCCCUAAACCAAAUAGUAGCCGCUGAACCGCCGACCUUCUUUCAGCUUGGACCAUCAGAACCACGCCUAAGCCGCUUUUAGACCACCUAUGAACCAGCCGAUUCGUUCGAACCGGAAGUGAACCGUUUUAGAAUUGUUGACUGGCUUUGAUUGUUUUUUUUUGGGUAAUUUUUCAUUAUUUCUCUUAUUUUUUAUAUAUUUUUGCUAAAUUAUUUAUUUGUUCUUUUAUGCAAAUUUAAAAUUUAAAUUUUUAUAUAGAUAUAUAUUAAAAAAGGGAUGUUCCAGAAUUCUUUUAAAAAAAAUAAAAAUCCUUAAAUAAUGAGAUAUUAAAGAAUUUCAAGUAGUGAUUCUUUAAAAAUAUUUAUGUGAUAAUAUUUUUUUAAAAAUCUAAUAAAGUACUAGAGUAUUUAAAAAUAUAUUUAAUAUAAAAAUAUUUUUAUUUACAUAUUUUUAAUUAAAAAUAAAAAUAUAUAAAAUAAUAAUAAAAGAACUUUUUUAAAAUAAUAAUAAUAAAUAAAAUAAUAAAAAAUUAGAAACAUAAUAUUUUUAUCCGACAAUAAGAUUUUAAAGUAAUUCAAGUAAUGAUAUAUGCAAAAUCUCUAGGUAAAUUUUUUUUUAAAUAUUACUAGUGUAUUAGAAUAUUUAUAAUAAAUUUUUAAUGUAAAAAAAUGUUCCUUUUAAAAAAAUUAAAAAAUAAAAAAUAAAUUAAUAUAUAUAAAUAAAAAUAAAUAAGUAAUUUUUCCUAAAAAAAGAGGGUAAAUAAAAUAUGUGUACCAAUAUUUCAUUAUUGGGCAUUGCAUGAAUGUCAUUGGAUUUUGAAAAAUAAAUACAAGCCUUCGAAAAUGAGAUUUUAAGAUAAUUUGAGUAACGAUAUCUAAGAAAUCCCUAGUUAAAAAAAAUUUCUUUCAAUAUUACUAGCGUAUUAUAAUAAUUUAAUAAUUUUGUCAAUAAUAAGGUUCUAAUUUAUUUUUCUUAAAAAUAGAAUAACAAAAAACAAAAAAAAAAACCAAAAUUAUCACAAGUAAAGGUAGUCAAGAAAAUUAUUUUUAAAAACUAAAAUUAUAACAUUUUUGUUAAAAUUAAAUGACAACAUACAAUUAAUUAAUACAUUUUUUUAACGAAUACUGUAGAGAUACUAAUCCUUUUCACAUGUAACAAAAGUCUUAAACUCAAACUAUUUCGCAGAUUUGAAAAUUAUUUUUUUAAUAAAUUUUAAGAUUUUAUUAAAAAUAUUAAAUUUAAUAGAUAACCAAUGACAACUAAUCAAAAAAUAUUAAUGGUGACUUUACUUUUUUCUUAAAUUUUCGUCUAGUAAUCUUUAAAACUAUUAUGAUAAUUUCCAAAUCUUCCUAUCCUAGAAAGUUCAUCCAAUUAUUUUGCUUUUAACAAAAAGAAAAAUUAUUGAAUUGAACCACUUUAUCAUCCUUCAUUUUUUUUUUUUUUUUGGGAUUGAUGGUUUACUUUUUCUUCUUUGCUUAGAUCAAUAGAUAAAUGCCUUUUGCUUAUUUUAUUCUUCAAACCCCACUUUGUAAAAAGAAAAUUAUUACUUUAUAACAAAGUUUAUUUUAUCAAACUUUAUUAAAUAGAAAACUUUAUUAAAUAAAAAUUUUGGGGGUUGACGCCUUUUACUUAUUUUGUUAAAUAGAAAACUAGAAUUAAAAAAAAAAAAAGGAAAUGAAACAUAUCCAAAUGAUGUUUUAAACCUUAACUAAAUAGAAUUAAACAAUAAUUAAUAAUCUUAAAAAGUAAUUUUUGUAAAUUAUUAUUAGUAUAAUUUGAAACUCUUUAAAACUAUGCCAACUUAACACAAUUAACUUAUUUACUACCAUAAUCUCAUGAGAAAAUAUUUUAUUAAAAAUAAUUCAUUCAAGAUCACUUAGUAAAUGAACAAAAUUCUUUUAUUAUUUAAGUUUAAAAUUAUAGCUAUAAUGUAAACUUUAUUAACUAGGCCUUUUAGUAAAUACUAGCUUUUUAUUUUUUAUUUUUUUGAAAAAAAAAAGUCAACCACGCAAGAGUCUAAAUUAUUUGAAUAUAUUUCAUUUCUUUAUUUUUUUUUGUUAAAAAAACUUCUAACUUUAUUUUUAAUAGGAUUUAAUCUUAUAUUUUUAUCUAAAUUUGUAAAUAUUGUAGAAAUAAAUUUUAAUAAAAUAAAAUAAAGAAAGGAAAUAAAACUAGGACGAUAGAUUUAGAAUAAUUAUUCUUUGCUAUCAUAUAAAAUGUAUUUAUUAGAAAAAAUAAAAAUUUUAUAAUUAUUAUAAAGAAAAAUAAAGUACUAUUUGCUCACCAUUUUAAGUUGAAUUUUUAAAAUCAACGCAAAAAUAAGACUUUCGUUUCCUUUCAAAAUUUUAUAAAUUUUAUUUAUUUUCUAAUAAAUACAUUUAAAUUAUUUGAGUAUGUUUCAUUUUUUUAUAAAAUAGCUUUUUAAUAGGAUUUAAUUUUAUAUUUUUAUCAAAAGUUGUAAAUAUUGGGAAAAGAAAAUUUAAUAAAAUGAAAUAAAGAAAUGAAAUAAAUUAAGAUAAUUGACCCAUAAUUAUUAUUCUUUGUUAUUAGAACAAAAUGUAUUUAUUAUAAAUGAAAUAUAUUUUUUAUAAUUAUUAUGAAAGAAAUUAAAUUACUAUUUUGACCCCUAUUUAAAGUUGAAUGUUUAAAAUUAAAGGCAAAAAUAAUAGUUUUAUUUCAUUUUUAAAAAUUUUAAUUUCAUUUAUUUUUUAAUAUAUACAUUUUAGUAUAAUAGUAAAAAGUAAUAAUUUUGAAUCUAUUACCUUAAGGCUUGAUAGAAAGGAUGGAAAUGAAUAAAAAUGAAAAAUAUGUUAAUUUAAUGGUUAAAUUAUAAGGUGAGAAAGUUGUUAUUAAUUUUAACUAUUAGAUGAACAAAUUUUUCGUAUUUUUCAUCAAAUAAAGCUUAAAAUUGUAACUUUCUGGCAAAUUUUGGUCAGAAAACAUCUUGAUAUAAUUUUUAAAAGAUUUGGAACUAUUACAGAAAUAUUACCAUUGAUGCAGUCCAAUAUUAUAAAAAACUAUCACAAAAUAAAUUAAAAUUUAAGAAUCAAAAUAAAACCCAAAUAAAAAAAAAUCGAAACUACAUAUGCACUUGAUUUUAAUUAUCAAUGCAUGCAGCGACAAUCAAACCAUCUAACGGAAGCAUGCUAGAAUCCAAGAAAAAAAAAGUACAAAGACAUGGAUUAAAUAAUUAGCCUUGGUAACCAAAAUUCUCAAGUUGAAGGCUACAACCUUAAAUUUUCUACUUUGAUAACAACUUACAAACUACUCUAUUAAAAUAUUGAAUGUUUGAAGUAUAAUUGCAAGCGAAUUAGGGUUUAAUUUAAUCAAUUUAUGUAAUUAUUUUUAAAAUUAAUAUUUAAUAAUUUUAAAUUUUAAAAUAAUUAUUUGUUUAUCUCAAAUUAUAAUAUAUUUUUUUUAUCAAUGUCUGUUGGUCUAAGUGACAAGAAGUUAUAUUUUUUUUAAGUAAGGUUUCAAUUUCAAAAUUUGUGAAUAAAAAAAAUAAAUAUUAAAAAAACUUAUCCUUUUUAUAAGAUCAAAUCUCACACGACUCCAUAAUAGUUGAAAUUUCAAGUGACUAUUGGAUACUGAAAGAUCUUAGAUAAAAAAAAAUUUAUAAAAAAAAUUUAAUUCCAAAAAAUGGAGAACUUUCAACUAUAUGGUUUAUGUAUAAAUUAGGAUUUAUGUAGGACAAGUAGAGUGACUGAAAUUUCAGUCUCUUAAGAGUUGGUCCAACUCGUAGUUGGGUUGGUGAGAGUUGGUAAGGCCUUGUCAUUAUUAUUAUUGCACAUUUAAAAUUUGGCUGCUAUCUCUAUUUUCUUUUGUUAUUAUUUAUUUAAUUGAUAAAAAGGGCAGUGGCAGAAGUUUUGGGGGAGUUUUGAAUUUGAGCAACAAUGGUUGAAACCUGAAAGUGGCACCAUGCCACCAACCCCGAAAAUGUAUGCUUCCAGGGGAAAAGGAGCUGAAGUGGAGGAACAGGAAAACGGGGUCGAUUUUCAGGCGGUGGUUGGUGGUGUUGAAAUGACUGAAUUGCCACUCAACAACCUCAUUAGCCAUCGCAUUGAUGAAAAUAGUUAGAAAUAUGAACAGAUCAUAUAUUCGUUAUUUUUUAAUAUUCGUAUUCGAAUUUAUUUAAAUAUAAUAUUAUUAUUUAAAUUUAUAUUCAAUUAAAUAUGUAUUAUUUAUUAAAUAUUUGUAUCUGAAUCCGUAUUCAAUUAAAUAAGUAUUAUUCAUUAAAUAUUUUAAUCUAUUAAAAUAUCGAAUACUUAAUUUUUUGUGAAAAUAUAAAAUAAAAUGAAUUAAAUUUAAAUUCAAGUUGAAUCUUUUUUUUUUUUUGAAACAAAGGAAGAGAGGUGGCUCUUCGAUCCAGUACAUGUCUUGAUCACAACUCAAAGCAUGUUUGGCUAGACUAUGAGCUACAUUGUUUCCUGUCCUUCCUAUGUGAAUGAAAUUACUGCUGGUAAAACCUCUACUUAUAUCCUUUGCUUCUCCAGUUAUCACGCCUAUGGGUGACAAGUCCAGUUCGCACAACUGUAACCGUUUUAAUACAGUCAAUGAGUCUCCCUCUAUUAUUAUAGAGCUAAAUCCCACGCAAAGUUGAGAGCAGUAACAGCUCCUCUUGCUUCUGCCAUGAACAAGUUAUCAACCCUAUGGAUCCUGGUCGCACAUGCUCCCAUCAAUUGGCCUUGUGAGUUACGGAUCACGACUCCCACUCUUGCUGUCUUCUCAGAUCGAUUCAGUGCAACAUCAAAAUUCACCUUAUAACUUCCAUUGUUGGGUGAUUGCCAUCAAGAAGGUUCCUGCUUCUGUCCCCUCCUUGCUCUCUCCUGAGCUUGGUUGUAUUCAUGGCUGCAUUGUCUGAUGAAAUUUUCAUUGCGACUUACUGUGCCUAUCUCCUAUCCAUGUAAAGUUUUGUUUCUAUUUCGGUUGUUAGCUUUAAUAUCUUUCCUUUGAGCCAUAAAUGUCCUUCAUCUGGUUCACCACAUUGAGUAUCCCAAGAAAAAUUCGGACACUAUCAUACCUUUUUCACUGCUUCGUAUUUUUUAAAGCAUGGAAUAACGUUUCUCUUUUAUUUUUGCAUCUUCCACAAACCUCAUCGACUUGAAUUCCUCGUUGUACCAGUGCAACCAUGGUUGGUAAUAUACCACGACAUGCCUUCCAUAAGAAAACUUUGAUUUUGUUUGGAACAUUUGUUGUCUAUAAUUUCCUCCACAUAUGUUCCUACUGGCCCAUUGUGCCAGUCGCGAUGCUCUUCAUUGCUUAGCAUCCUAAUAACCUUUUCAUGAAUAUCUCCCGUUAUCACUAUGCCAUACAAGAAUGUCUGACCCUUUCCCCCAUACUCAUUGAUAUCUAUGCUGAUGGUCUGCUUCGUUUCACAAAUUUUUCACUAUUAUCAUGCAUGCUUUAGGUACUAAUAUAAAGUACUGUGAAAGGUACCCACUGAUCGGUUAUCUUGUGGAUUUUUUGUUUCUACCCUCCACCUCACUCGCCCUUGAGUGUUAGAAAUAGACUCUCACGAACUCCUCCACUUAAUGAUGGCUUGUUGCCCAAACUCGAAUGAAGAAAUGAAACUUUUGGAAAGUAUUUACCUUUAAGCACACGACGCACAAGUGUGUGUUCAUUCUUGAGUAGCCGCUAUAUUGUUUAGGCUCCAUUGUCUUGUUGAUGCUGGUCAUGUCAUGGAACCCCAUUCUUCCAUGCUUCUUUGAGCAACACAUCUUAUCCCAACUAAGCGAGUGUAGUCCUUUUUUGUCCUUGUUUUGCUUUCACUAAAACUUGCUUAUGACUCAAUUCAUUGCCAUUUGCAAUGUUUUAGGAAGUAGAAAACAUCCCAUGGUAUAAGUUGGGAUAGAUUGCACCACAUAUUUGAUAAACACCUCCUUGCCCCCUUGUGAAAACAUUAGCUAAGCCUUCCAGUCAUUCACCUCUCCAUUCUAUCCUUAAGCUCUUUAAAAGCUCUCUUUCUUGCCCUCCCACCAUAGAAGGCACUCUUAGAUAUUUCUCCAUGCUCGAUAUGGUCUCGAUGCUCAACAUAAUCUUGGUUUAGGAUUUCAUCUUGUCCUGCAUUUUGUAGCUGAAAGUUUAUGCACUAGCCAGAGGUUUCUUCAUACCUCCUUAGCACCUGCCUUACCACCUCGCUUUUGUUUUUAUUUGCUUUAGCAAAUAAGAUACUACCAUCAGUCGAAAAAGAGUUGAGUAACUCUGGCUCCAGCCUUACUUGCCAACAUUCCAUGGAUUCGACCUUCACCUUGGUGUUUGUGUAAAAGUGAUGAUAGACCUUCUGUGCAAAUUAGAAACAAGUAUGGGGAAAAUGGCUUUCCUUAUCGGAGUCCUCUUUAUGGUCUAAAGACAUCAGUCAUACAACCAGUAAUCAGAAUUGGGUAAAAGACUGAAGUUACACAUUUCAUGAUAAGACCAAUCCACUGCGUAUGAAAACCCAAUUUGGUUAUCAUUCUAGCAAGAAAGUUCCAUUCUACUCUAUCAUAUGCUUUGCUCAUGUCAAGUUUUAAGGCAAAGUAACCAUCCAUCCCCUACCUUUUGUUUUUCAAGGUAUGUAACAUUUCAUAGGCAACCGAGAUGUUAUCAGUGAUUAGCCUCUCAAGGACAAAAGCACUUUGAGCAUCACUAAUACAAACAGUAAGGAUGUGUUUGAGCCAAUUAACUAGGACUUUUGCUAGAAUUUUGUAUAUAACAUUACACAAGCCAAUUGGUCUAAAGUGGCUAACAUUCAUAGGAUUCUUGAUUUCUGGAAUAAGACAAUGUUAGUGUGAUUUAUAUCCUCAAUCUUUCUCCCCCCAUUCAGACAUUCUAAGCAGUAAUUUAUAAUAUCAAUCCCAAUAAUAUUCCAAAAUUUUUAGUAAAAAAGUGAUAGCAUACCAUCAAAUCCAAGGGCUUUGGUUCGGUGCAUCAACCUGAUUGCUAUUUGAAUCUCUUCAGCUUGUAACUCUACAAGGAGUGAAUUAUUCAUUUCUUCUGUUACCCGCGGCUCAACUGCCUCAAGAACAUGCUCAUAGUUAUUUGUCCUGUUUAACUAAAAUAGUUUCAUGAAGUUUGCAGUGGCAGUUUGAUGGAUGUGUAUAUCAGUCUUUCUCCCCCCAUCCUCCAUUCAAUAACCCUUUGAUUAAAUUUCUUUUUUUUUUUUUUUUUCGUUUGGUUACCUGUGCACGAAAAUACGCUGUAUUUUUAUCUCCCUCACUCAACGAAGCAAUCCUUGACCUCUACAGCCAAACCAGUUCUUCUUUUUCUAGUAGAAGGUUUUGCUCCUUUCAUGCUAUUUUCCUGUACCAAAGCUUCAUCUGUUGGGCUUGAAUGUUGAAUGCCUCGGAGCUCUUUUUUCACCGUUUCUAUUCUAUUCCUCAUACUGCCAAACAUCCCAUCUUGCCAGAGCUUUAAUUUCUAUUCUAUUCCACGCCAUGCAUUUUCAAUCACGUGCCCACAAACCGAAACAUGCAUCUCCCCCUGUGUUUGUUUUUACAUUUUGCGCCAUCUGUGUUCAUUAAUAUAGGCACAUGGUCAGGCACUACUAGAUGUGACCAUCACCUCGAACAUCCAAAAGCAGUAUGGAAAGCUCUUGGAGGACUUCAACAAAGGUUUGGACAACAAGAAGGAGAUUGAAGAGCUCAAGUCUGAUGUUGAGAAGUUCGCGUCCUCAUUUGAAGUGCCUGGCUAUAUGUCCAAAAUGAAGCACAAGGAUUAGAACUAAAUACUAUCCACUCUUAUUGCUGUCAUUAUCUGCAUUUGGGUCUUUUGGAAUGUUGCCUCAGUUAAUGUCCUGAGCGGAAAAACAGAAAAAAAGAAAGGGAAAAGAAAAUGAAGCAACUCUGAUUAACACCAGCUUAGGAUCACCUUAUCCAACUCUGAUUUUGAAGACAUCAAUCCAACACAUCAGAAUACAGUGACUUAUUGAACUCCAAAAAUUAUUGAAUAGCCGUUAAGAAUUCCAAAAUUCCUAUGAUUUGUUUAACGAUUCAACUCAGUUAUAGCAAAUGAGGGCAUUGCAAUUCCAGUCACAUCAACUAGCCAAUACAUUUGUGCAAAAUAAGAAUCAUGCACCUCAGCCAUCAUUUUGAUUUUUUUCCUUGUUUCUUCUUGAUAACUUCAUCAAUGUACAUUAUACCCUUGCCUUUGUAAACUUCUGGAGGCUUGCAACUUCUAACAGUAGCAGCAAAUUGGUGCACCCUCUGCUUGUCAAGUCCAGUGCAGCAGACUACAUUGUUUUUGAAGCAGAAAACACGGACAGCUGGAGGAACAGUAAGUUCAACCUCAUGACUGUAUCCCAGUUUGAGAAAUAAGAGCCUUCCCUCGGCUUCAGCUCUGGCUUUGUACCCAACUCCAACAAUUUUAAGAAAGCGAAAGAAUUUAGUCUCCAUGAUGAUUGAAACAACAGCCUGAUAAGUGUAGUCAUUUAAAAGAUCAUCGUAAGGAAAGAAAAACAAAUGUGGACACAAAGGAAAUAAAAGAGCCAUGAAACUCCAAUAAAUCAUUUAAUAUUUGCAUAUUGGCUUCUCAAACCUUGGUUGCAAUAAAUUAGAAAGUUAGCAUCUCUGAGACAACAAUUAUUUACUUUGAACUUCAAGUGAGAAUAGUAACAACUUAAAAGUUAAAAAGUAGAAAAGACAUCCCAAAUCUGUGGUAUUGCAAUUCACAUUCAUGGAUAACAAAGAGCAAAAACUUUUUUAUUUUUCUUUUAAUAUUUUACGCAUGACUAGUAUAUUUUAAAAGGAAAAAGACUAAAGCUCCAUUUGGUUUUUGUUUCUUUUGGUAAUUUACUCAGGUUAUUCCUAAGCAUUACCCUAAUUCCCUCUUCGGGUGAUUUUAAUGGUGCACUCUCCCAUAACGGAGUGCUUCCUAUCACACAAGGAUUGAACCUUAAUAGACAAGAGAAGAGGCUCCUCUACAUACCUUGGUAUGGCUUUUGUUACUUGCAUUUUACUUCUUAAAAAGUUGCUAUAGUGCAAGAGCAAAAUCAUAAUCAAUUAAAUAUGAAAAAUGAUUAGAAUGCAGCACCGAGUACAAUACAAACGUUAUACAAAGAAGUAAAAUCAUUCAUUUUGUCAUCUAAGACGAUUAAUUCUUCAAAAAGGCAUUUAUCUUCCGCAAGCAAAAACCCAAAGCAAAAGCAAAAACUGGCACCUAACUAACAUACAGAAAUCAAGAACCAAUUGUUAAACAGGAAGGCAACAAAAUUUUAAUUAAUUACAACAAAAUGUGGUUCUAUAACAGCUUUGAGUCAAGGUUUCCCACACCAAUACAUUGCCUUUUUAAAAAACGGAACCUGGAGUUACUUAGAAAAGUUAACAGGGCAGCUUAGAAAAGUUACUUAGAUCAUUUGGUGCCAUAAAUUGAUCAGAACCAACUUUGAAGUUGGAAUUUGUUGCUUAACAGAUUCUAGUUUGCUUCAAGGUUCAAAACUGCAGUUGAAAGAAGGCAAAAGCAUGGCUAUUUGGCUGUCACAGACAGUUCUAUGUUGUGUCCUUUUGAACAAACAUAAAGUGAUUUCUAAAAUAAUAUGAACUACGAUGGCUUAAAGAAAUCUGACGUUGCCAUGAAAAUUUUGCAAAGAUUUUGAGACAAGACCCACUAUAUUAUCUUGCUCAACGUCAAACAGAGAAAAAGAUGAACAGUUAAUAACACAUGUAACAAAAAAAAAAAAAUCUAGAAAUACAGACCUUGCCUACUGCUUCCUCCACCUGGCACCACCAGUUAUGGUUCCGGUUAAUUCACUGUUCAAUCCUGAAGGAGCUUCGCUGCUGUUGCUGUUGCUGUUGCUGUUGCCGUUGCCGUUGCCGUUGCCGUUGCCGCUGACUGGGGAAGGAAGGGGUGGCUGAGAAGGGGCGCCGCUUGGUGUGAUUAGGGACUCGAGAGAGUGGAAGACAAUUUUGAACGUUCUAUAACCUGGGCUAAGGCUAAGUGUGUCAAGCGAUUUUCAACGUUUUGGCCCAUGUAAAGCCCAAACUGGUUCCAUUCAAGUUCCGAGUUCCCUUUACCUCCAUGUCCACCCAUUUCCAUUGCAGUGGUCGAAAUGGAAUUCAAAGAAACCAAUAGUUUUAGUUUGGAUUGGGACCAGAAUUUCACUGCCGAAGUGAUCCAAUUGAUGGACGCCAUUGAAGCCACUCUUCAGUCCUCUUCAUCUUCUUCUCCAUCUUCUCUCGUCAAGAAACGCCAGUCCACCAGCCUCCAAGAAAACAACCCCCAAACCUGCCGGAAAUUACCUGAUUCCAUUGUCUCUCCACCACCUUCAUUUCCAUUUUCCUUCUCACGCUGUCAAGGUAUUGCUAUCAGUUCCUUUACCCAUUUUUCUUUCACAAUUUUGAAUCAAAUAAUUAGUAAACCCUUUGAUUUUCUGAUUUGGCAGCUCGUCCAAGGUUUAGAUAUCCGCUAUUGAGAUUUGGAGGUCAAAUUUUGUAUAGCAGAACAGAAGCUGAGGUAGAAAAAGCUGCAAUGGAGCUUUUGAAAGUUCUUGAAAUCCAGAAAAAAGAAAUGGGUCAAGUUUCUAUAGGGUUUGAUAUUGAGUGGAAACCCUCUUUCCAAAGAGGUUUGCUUGAUUGCUUUCCCUACCCUCCUUGUCUUGCUACAUUCAUUUCAUAUCAUCCUUUUUGUUUGUGUUUUUGUGGUUUUUUUUUCUGUUUCCUUAGAAAGAAUGUGUGAAAAACCAACUGUUUUUCAGCGCAAACUACAUGAUUUUCUUUAUAGAUAGAAUUUUUAUGUUAGAAUUGGUAUUGCAUUGUUGUAAUUACUUGUUUUUAAUCAGUUGUAAUUUUGCUGUUUAGACAUUGUGGUAUGCUAUAUUUUGAAACUAAAUAUUUAUGCCUUGUGUUUGUUGAUGUCCUGCUAUAUCCUUGCCUUGAUGAAGGCCUUUCAAUUUGUCAUAAAGCAGCAUUGCUACAAUGUCUUUUAAAGCAGAAGCUAAGCACUCUUUACUCCCUGUUUCAUGAGUUGUUGUGGCCAUUAUCAAUCAUUUCCUCUUAAGGCUAUAACCAUGAGAACCUCAAUGGUUUUUUAUUUGUAAAUUUUAUUCUAUGUUGGUGAUUCUUUUUCUUCUUGUUUACCUUCUGGUGGAAGUGGCCUAUUUAAAUCAUUCUCAGAUUGCAUUUAGAAGAUAGCAUUGAAACAUGAACACAUUGAAUUUGCAUUAGUACGCAUGGUUAAAUAUCCAUUGUACUUCUAGGGUAGGGACUAAUGUGGUCAACCACCUCCUAAUAUAUCACUUGUCUAUCUGGUUCCUGUCUUGCCUUCUUGACCUUUCAUCAAAAGUAGUUACUAUAGACAUUGGCUCUCUAUCAAUUUCAGUAGUUAAGGGGGAUGGGAAUAACUUUAUGGGACUUUGCAGAGUAUGGGAUUAGAUAAAAGGGGAAAUAAUUACUUCCUAAUUUUUCAAUCACAUCUGUAGAACUUCUUCCUGCAUCUCGAUGUACAAAGGGGUUUUGGUUACAAUGCUGCCUAGUGGUUUAUGAACCAAAAACUUUGGUUGCUUCCUUGCAUCCAAUUCAAUUAUAUAUAAGAGCUUCAUAUUCUGAUUAAGAAUCUUUAUUCUCAUUUUUUUAAGCCUUUUUGCAAAGGUUGUAGGGGAGUUAAGCUAAAAUUGUCUUAAAUUAUACUGUAUGGAUAAUUAUUUAUAGUUGGAAUUUUGAGACUGCAGGUAUUUUGCCUGGGAAGGCUGCAGUCAUGCAGAUAUGUUGUGACAAUAGGUAUUGUUAUGUGAUGCAUAUUAUUCAUUCUGGAAUACCUCAAAGUCUGCAGGUUCUCCUUGGGGAUUCCACAAUUAUAAAAGUAAGUAAUAUCUUUACUCUUUACUUUGUGUCUUUUUAUUGUCUACCUAAAUUCCUGAUUUUCUAUAUUGGGAUUGUAUAUUUAGUUUUUAGCAUUUCGAAUUUAUGCUCACAAAUGAACAGGUUGGAGUUGCAAUUGGUGGCGAUGCUGUCAAGGUGUUCAGUGACUAUAAUGUAUCUGUCAAAGCUGUGGAAGAUCUUUCAUAUCUGGCAAAUCAGAAGCUCAAUAGCGAUCCCCAAAAUUGGAGUCUUGCAGCCCUCACUGAGAAGCUUGUUUGCAAAGAGGUAUUCAUCUAAUUUAGCUAUUUGAAAGCCUGGAGAACACUGAAGCAGUCCUUCAUCUUAUUUACACCUAAUAUGAUAUUAGUUCUCAACUGGUAAAUAGUACUAGUAUUUUACCUUCGACCUAGAUAUUUGGUUUAAACUUUCCUUAAGCAGCAAGGCUGAACACUUUCAUUGGGAAAUUUUAUUAAAAGUUGAGUAUUGCAGCUUCCGAAGCCCAAGAGAAUUAGGCUGGGAAACUGGGAGUUGUAUCCUUUAUCCAAGGAGCAACUACAGUAUGCAGCAACAGAUGCUUUCGCUUCAUGGCACCUAUAUCAGGUAACAUUACUAUAUCACCGUCUAUCAUAAAUGUAGAGAGGCUUCGAUAUUGUUUGACUUCAUUGUCAGUCUUUGGUUAUUAUCACUGUUAAAAUUGUUAUUACAUACAGCACUAUCUUUUGCUUCCAUUUUUUACUAAAAAAUAGUUUUUUGUUGCAUUGCAGGUCUUAAAGAACCUCCCUGAUGCAGUAAAGGAUCCGGCAGGUAAAAGUAAAGGUAUUCUAACACAAUGAUUUUCGUUGUUUUAACAUUUUUUUGUCUAAUAUCCUUAUUAAGUUAAAGAUUUGGGGUUUGCCACCAUUCUGUUUUAAUUCAAGGCAGAGUUCUCUUAGUUUCAUAGAGAGAAGCGAGCCAAAGGCCAAGAAACAAAGAGGUUCAGUAUUUGCCUAUUUGGGAAUUCCUUGUUUUUAUUCUUGGCCACAUGGGAAUUCAUUGUUUAUAUGCUGUUGCAUAUGAUUUAAUGUAUACAGCUUAACUAUGCCAUGUUCCAGCAAAGAUGAUUCGCGUCGUCAUUCGGAAUCUAAUAUCUGUGUUUCAGAACAAACAUUUUAUUUUUAUCGAUUUAGCAUGAUCUAUUUAUGUUUAUUUGUUUGUCAAAUACUCCUUGUGCCUCUGCCUUUCAUGUACCUUCAAUGUGCUGAAUGAGUUUAUCCAUGACAUAAUGAGUUCGGGUUUUAGCCCAUGCCUUUGUUGCUUGGAUUUAAAGGUAACUGGUUCUUUUAAAGAUAACUGCACACUUCAACUGAAGUAAAUACGGAUUCAGAAAAACAAAAUCUUUGAUCAAAGCUAACAUGUCCUAAUUUCUGGUCCAUAUGAACCUCCAUUUUCUCUGGUUGUUACUCAAAAAUCUAACAAGCCACAUGCCUAAGCACGUGGCUAAGAGAACAACCAUUGGGACCUUCCUCUUUGGAGCAAUCAUUAGCCGUAUGGCAUUAUUUUCUUCAUUGUUUUUUUCUCCCUUUUGCCCCAUGUCAAAGAAAGCUCGUGCAAUAUCAUCAAAUUUGUAUGUUAAAAAUUUAAAAAAAAAAUCAAGAUUUAAUUUAGUUGAUUUAGAUUAUCAUUUUAAAUGUAUCGAAUCCUUUAAAUUGGCUUUCAUUUUGAAUUACGAAUUUUUUAUUAACAUUUUUGGAUAAUAUUUAAAUGUUUUUAAAUUUUUAAAUUUUCACAAUUCAAAAAAAAAUGAUACUAUGAUUUUGAGUUUUAAAACGAGAAAUAUUUUUUUUUCCAUCUCAUAAAUCUCACCUGUGAUUCAAAUUUAAAACCUUUAAAAUGAAACCUCAGAAUUUUACUUCAAGCAAAAUACAAGAAAAAAUAUAUUUUUUCUUAAAAAAAAAAAUUACAUUACCAGAACAGUGCCAAGCAAAUUGAUUAGUCUAAGUCCUCAGGACUAGGGAUGUAAAUAAUACAUUAGUACUCGCAAGCUAUUUGGGUUCGAUUAGAAGAAAACUCGAAUUCGAUUCGAUUAUUAUAGAAUCGAGUUCGAGCUCAAGUAGCUCGACUUAUCAAUCAAGUUUAAUUCAAAUAUUCUUAUAUCCGAUUCGAGUAGCUUGCGAGCUUAAUCGAGCUUUUAUAUUUAAAUAUAUUUUUAUUAUUUUAAUUAAUAAAAUAUUUCGAAUUCGAGUUCGAACUCAAGCAUAAAUAAUCGAAUUCUUGUCGAUUAUAUAAAUCGAGCUUAUUUUUAUAUAUUAAUCGAGCUUAAUCGAACGAGCUCGAGUAACUCAAAUUCGAUCACGAAUCAAACUCGAGCUUGAAAAAUAAAACUCCAUCAAGUUCGAACCGAAUAUCGAACUGCGAGUUGUGAGUGGAAUUCGAGCUCGAGCUUCUCACUGUAUCGACUCGAUUCGAUUACACCCCUACUCAAGACCAUUUUAAUCAGAUUCAAUGCUUUUUAUGCCAAAAGAAGGAGCAAGGAAUCCACAUGACAUUGAAUUCCUGCUACAGAUAAGGCUCGAAAGAAUUGAAGUUGCAGAUCUGAUGGAUUACCUUUACAUCCUAGAAAAUAUCAAAAACCAGACAUGCAUAUCACCAACACUCCUCUUCAGUACAAUGAAGAUGGUCUAUCUUGUUAUAUAUAAAUGUUAUGGAAUAUUGUCCAAAAGCACUUGUUGAAGAUUAAAAUUAUUAUGAACACAUGCUCGGCUCAAGUGGUAAAAAAAGUAUGUUCUUUUCUUUGUUAUUUGGAUUCAAAUCUGUUGAGAAAUCAUAAAAUAUAAUUUUUCAUAAAUUCAUUAUAUUUAACAUAAAUAAAUUUAUUUGAAUUGAUUCGAAAAAAAAUUAUCAAAUAAAAAUUAAAAAUUUCUUGUCGUUAUAUAUAAAAAAUUAACAUUAUUUAACUUAAUGAUUUUUUAGUACAUUUGAUGAAAUCAAACGACAAUGUUAACAAGUGUUUUUAAACAAUCAUUAAAUCCUUUACUAUAAUACAACAUCGUCACAGUUAACAAAAUCCAAACGUAUGAAGAAUAUAUUAUUAGUUGUGCAUUGAACAUGAACUUAUUAUUAGUUUUAAAUCCAUGGAAGGAGGUGUGCCAAUGAACAAAAAAUAUAAUGUUAUUUAGAGUGAUGAAACUAACCAGGCUUGUUUUUCUUAAAACAUUCGAGUUUAAUUACUAAUCACAGCUUCAUUUUUUUUUUAUUUCCUUCCGAAGUAACAGUGUGAUUCCAUUGUUAAAGCUAAUUAAGGCUUCCAUAGCUCCAACAAUAUCUGAAUUAAUUUUUACUAAUUAUCCUCCACUUUUUCCUAAUUUAAUAAUAAAGCUUUAAUAUCUUUUCCAAAAUCGGAGUUCAUUCAAUCAUUCUUACAAUUAAUAUCCAACAAAUUUUGCAUUUAACUCUAAGUUUAGGGUUUGUGGGAAACACUAAGAAUCCAUUUUGAUGAGUAAUAAAUUUGAUUCGAGUGAGAUUGAAAAUAAUAAUAAAUGUGAGAUUUAGUUAUUAUAAUAGUGAUAUUUAAAUCAAUGAUGAAUGUGUUUGAAUAUGAAUAUAGCGAUGACUUUGAAAUAAAAAUAUAAUAAUAAAUUAUUUAUAUAUUUUUUAAUUUUAUAUAAUGUUUAAAAUUUUAUAAAUUGAAAUAUAUAAAUGAUUUAUUAUAUAAUUAUAAAAAUAUUAUGCGAAAAUCUCUAAAUAAAAAAUAAAAAUAUAAUUAACAAAAAGAAAAAGACAAAGACUAAAUUAUAAGGGUAUUUUGGUUCCUAUAUUAUACAUUGGAGGGUAAAGAAAAAAAGAGAAAUGAUGGUAAAGGCAUAAAGAGAUAAUACGGAGCAGUGCUAUUUACACUUUCAUUUCCUUUUUUUUCAUAUCCCACUAUUAUUAACAUCAAUUUUUUCUUCUCUUCACAUCUCAAACUAAAAUAUUAAUUUAUUAAAAAUCCUAAACACUUCACAUCCCCUCUCUUUUUCUUCAUUCGAAAACUCUAAACUCUUUAGGGAUUAAACCUCAAAUCAAGCCCCAAUCACCUAUAUAAUGUUAGAUAACUUAAAAUCAUAGAUAAAUCAUUUGUUUUUUUUUUCUGUUUUUUUGUUUGAUUUUAUGUUUAAUUUCAAAAUAUUUAAAAUUUUAAGUUUAAAAGUACGAUUUGAGACCACGAUUCGAAUAUUCUAAAAUUGAACUUCUUAAAAUUGUUGAAAGUUUUUGAAAAUAGAUGUUCAAAAAUUUUUUCAACAUACCAAAAUUUCAUUGAAGUUUCCUAAUAAUUGCAAUGUUUUUUAAAAAUAAAUUUUUGGUAUAAUUAAGAAUUUCAAAAAAUGAUUUUUUGGUACAUUAAAUAAGUUUUCAAAAAUUCAUUUUUCAUAACUUACUAAGAAGGGGUAUAAAAGAUAAAAAAAUAAUUAAAUAAUUGAUAUUUAAGUAAUUUUUUUAUAGGUUAAUAUUUUUAGGUGUAUUGAGAGUUUUCUGUGGUGCAAAUAGUCCUAAGUUGUAAUAAAUGAUAAGGAGCAGUCUCAUCUUUACACUAUACAUUGAAGGGCAAAAACGAAAAAAAAAAAAGAUGACAAGGGCAUAAGAGGGAAGAAAGGGUGUAGUGGAGAGGUUGAUUUGAGUGGUGCUAAAAUUACCUCCAUUUUUUCAUUUUACACCCUAUUUUUUAGAAUUUUUUUGUAAAUAAAAUUAUUUAAUUAUUGUUCUCACGAUUUUACGAGGUUUUAUAAUUUUUUGGAAAUGAAUUUAUGAAAAAAUUUAUAGUUUUUUAAAAAUAGAUUUUCAAAAAGUUAUAAAUCUUUUCAAAAAUAAAUUUUUGAAAAAUCAUAAAUCUUUUUGAAAAUUUGACUAUCCUGAAAUUUAAUUUCGAAACGGUUUAUAAUAUUUUGAAAAUUAAUUUUCAAAAAGUCAUAUGAUUUUUUAAAAAUUUAUUUUCAAAAAGGUUUAUGAUUUUUUAAAAAAAUUUAUGUAAAAAAUAAUUAAAUAAUUUUACUUACAAUUUUUUUUUAAAAUUGAGGUAUGAAAAAAAAAAAAAAGAUUGAAUACAUUUAGCAGCACUUUAAUUGAUUUUCCAUCGGAGCCUUAAGUUUCAAUGGCUAUUGGAGGUUUCAGUACGGUGAAAAAAAGACUAAACCGCGCCAUCCUGCACUUACAAUUAAAGCUCUAAAUCAUGUAGUAAUUAAUCAGUGAUCCAAAUGCUGCCUAAAUUUAGAGCAAAAUACCAAACUCUAAGUUUAUGUUUAUGGGAAACAUUUAAUUACUUUUGGCUUUAAGAGGAGGAGGAAGGUGUAGCAUCAUGCUUAUCAUUAUAAGGGUCAAGGUGUUUUUGCCACACUUGAAAACAAAUGUGAAGCAUGUGCUGCGUAGGCCUUCAAUUAUAUUAUGUCUUUUUCAAUUUUCCAUGUCUCUGACAUGUAAUUGUACGAUCACCCUACGACCAUGUGAAAAGAGAAUGACAUCCCAUUCUUCGACCCAAGCAGGUAAAAAAUUUCGAAAUUAAUGGUUUCGAUUUGAAAAUUGGACAUCGGAUCGAAUCAAGUCAGGUGACAUUAAAAAAAAAUCGAGAUUGAGUUUUAAGUAAAUCUGAUCAUAUCCGAUUUGAUAUAUAUAAAAAUAAAUUUUUAAUUAAUUAUUUAAUUUUAUAAUUAUUUUUAUAUAAUUAUUUAUAUAUAUUUAAUUUUAUAUUUAUAUUAAAAAUGAUAUUUUAUUAAUUUUAAAUCGAAUCGAAUCGAAUAUAAUUUUAUACAAUAUCAAAUUAAAUCGAAUUAUGAUAUAAAAAUAAUAAAAAAAUAUCGAAUAAGAUCGAGUUCGAAUUUAUAAUAUUUAAAGUCGAAUCAGGUUCGAAACGAGUAAAAUCUCGUUCCGACCCGAUCCGUUGUCAUCUCGAAAUACAAUCUCUCGAAGUUUGAAUGAUAAGUGCCAACAGGAAAAAGAAACUUAUAAAUUCCUUCUGACAGGUAGUUUAACAAUGGCACUGAUGUUUCAUUCGUUCCUUCAUGCAUUUAGGUUGACACCAUGUUUGUUGGAAAGAAGGGAAAUGGUGAGAAGAAAAAUAAAUGAAGAAAGAAAAAAAAAAAAAGGACGAGAGGGAAAAGUAUCUGAAAUAUACUUUUCUUUUGUAAAAGCAUCUUUUGAGGAAUUCUUUAUUUGAAUUUAAAAAUCAUAUUUUUAAAAUGAAAUAUCAAUUUUUUUUGUUAUUUAAUAUUAAGGUUGAGUUGCAAACCAUUUUUGAAUAAUGCUAAACUAGUAUAAUAUUAAUUUUUUAAUAAUAAUGAUUAAAAUUAAAAAUUUUAAUUUUAAUAACUUCGUCAUCGAAUAAAAAAAAAAAAGACAGAAUGAAUAUAUUCGUAUUUGUUACACAUCAAAGAGCUGAAAGAACAUUUCAACAACAUGCAAAAUUUCAACCUUUCAAGAAAAAGGACGUGCCAGACCGAAGUUGUUGAAAGCGUCCAUAAAUGAGGAACCGACGUCAAAUCAGAAGCUAACUUUCCUUAACAAAUGGACCAAUCAGCUGACCAUUGCUGUUGCCUUUUGCAGUUCCGAACAUUCUCCAUCGAUGAUCUAAUCGGUCCUUGGAUUCAGGCCCAUCACAAUUGAGAACUUUUCUUAGGCAAUAAAUUAAUCUAAUGAGUGGCCCUUAUAAAAUCCGUAAUGCAUCAACCACAACUCCAACAUACGAGGAUUCGAGUGAUUAAAAAAUUUAAUUUUUUUAAAUAAAAUUUAAAUUUUAUGAAUAAAAAAUAAAUAUUAAAAAUAUAUCUUUUUCUUACAAUAUUUGAAUCUAUUUAACUUUAAAUUAAUUGAAGUUUAAAACAAUUAUCGAAUAUCAAAAUAUUUUAAAUUAAAAAAACAAAUCAUCAACUAUAACUAUCAUUUUCAUUUUCAAAAAUGCAAUUAUUAAUAUGCCUUAACCUUCUUGUAUUUUAUUGAUACCGACCUUUGAUUCAAGAUAAAAGCAAAAGAAUAUUUCGUUCGUCCUAAAAUAUUUAUUAUAUAUUAAUUUUGAUAAAAUUAAAAUAAAUUGAUUUUAAUAUGUUUAAUAUCAAAAUUUAAAUUCUUUAAUAAAAUUUAAUUUUUUUAAUUUUUAAUAUUAAAAAAUAAAAAAAUCAUAAAAAUAAUUUUAAAAUAUAAAAAAGUAAGAAUUUUAUAUAGUUAAAAAAAUAAAUAAGAUAUAAUUUUGAAACAUUUCAAAAAAAUAGAUAAAAAAGUAGAUAGAAGGAGUAAUAAUAAUAAUAAUAAUAAUAAUAAUAAAUAUCCAAAACAUUAAAUAUCAAUUCUUAAAAUUAAUUAUAUAAAUUGAUUGAAUUAAAUUUUAAAUUUACACAUGAUUGUUUUUUAAUCGUAUUAUAUUUAUUUGAAAAAUUAAAUUAAAAUUUUAAAUUACUUUUCUAAACUAUUAAUUGAAAAGAUCCAAGUCAUCUCCAUCUCUAUUGAUGUCACCACCAUCCCCUUCCUAAUUCAAAAGACAUUAUUAAUAUAUUAAUUAGGCAUAAUUCCACAUCAUACAAUGAAAAUGAAAAAAAAAAAAUUAAGGGCGGUCUGAAUUCAUGUAACUUGUUUGAAAUGCAACUAAUCUAUAUAAUCCUUAUGCCUCAUAUAUAAUAAUGUAUUGGUUUGAUUUUUUUAUUAAAAAAUUUUCAAUCAUGCAUAAAUUAUUUUUUUCAAAAAUCUCUAUGCUUAUUUUUUGAUAAUACAUAUUUCAAUAAACAAAAAAAUAACAAAUUAAUUUAAGUGAUUAAUACAUCUCAAUUUUGUUUCCAUUUUUUUUAAUUGCCAAGACAUAAUAAGCAAGGGUUAUGGAAUACAGUCUGCCGACAAUUUGCAUGGAGGGAGAGAAAGCAAGAAGGGAGAUGUCUCUUUCAAUUUUCCACUCAGGCAAUUUACAAAUGGAAAAGACAUUUGCAAUUUUGUGUGAGAUUCCCAUUUAUUUUAUUUGCUAAUUAAUUUUGGUCGUCUGCAUAAUGUUGGAAAAUAUCAAAUAUGGAAGCCUACAACUUUUAUGUCAUUAAUUCAUGUUAAUUUUAUUCAUAAAAGGUGUAAUUUUCUAUAUUUUUGCUGGUAAUUAUGCUGAUAAUUCAUCUUUAAUUUGUUAAUUUAAAGAAUUUUGAUGAGGAAUUGAAGUCAUCAAAAAUAUUUUUAAUUUGACUUUCACAUGCCAAUAAUCACCCUAUAACUUAUUAAUAGAAUAUUAAACUCUUAAUUUUAAUAAUUAAAAUUCGACAUUCGAGCGAUAAUUUAAAAUAAAAAGGAUAAUGACUUGAAUUUUUUCAUUAAAUAAAAUGAAAUUUCUUGUUCUUGGAAAAUAAAGAGUGGGUGAGCCCACUAAAUACCAAAACCUCUAAAACUGAUGUUUCUUUUUAGGAUAGUGACUUGUUUUUACUAGUAAAAUAAGUGUGACAUCAACCAUAUUCUUUUUCUUCUUUUCAAAGGUCAAAACCCUUUUUUAUGUAAUUGAAUUUGACGCAAAGAUACCAUGAUUAAUUGGUUGGUAAUAAGCAGCUUUCUCAAAUUUUAUUCUUUUUUCUUUUAUUGUUUCGAUUGAAGGGAAAAGAUCUUCAUUUCUAGCGUUCUAUAAAAGGGACCAAGAGCUGAUCAUGAUAGUUAAAUAGAAUAUAGAUAAAGAUUACAUAUGGGAUAAUAUCACAUGCAUUACAUUGAUUUUUAAAGGAUCGUACAUUGAUGUGUGGAAGUUUAACAAAAGUGAUAUUUUUAUAUGAAAUAAUCGUUUUAUAAAAUUUUUAUAUCAUUUUUUCUAUCAAAUUAUUUUCAUUAAUUUAUUUAUANNNNNNNNNNNNNNNNNNNNNNNNNNNNNNNNNNNNNNNNNNNNNNNNNNNNNNNNNNNNNNNNNNNNNNNNNNNNNNNNNNNNNNNNNNNNNNNNNNNNNNNNNNNNNNNNNNNNNNNNNNNNNNNNNNNNNNNNNNNNNNNNNNNNNNNNNNNNNNNNNNNNNNNNNNNNNNNNNNNNNNNNNNNNNNNNNNNNNNNNNNNNNNNNNNNNNNNNNNNNNNNNNNNNNNNNNNNNNNNNNNNNNNNNNNNNNNNNNNNNNNNNNNNNNNNNNNNNNNNNNNNNNNNNNNNNNNNNNNNNNNNNNNNNNNNNNNNNNNNNNNNNNNNNNNNNNNNNNNNNNNNNNNNNNNNNNNNNNNNNNNNNNNNNNNNNNNNNNNNNNNNNNNNNNNNNNNNNNNNNNNNNNNNNNNNNNNNNNNNNNNNNNNNNNNNNNNNNNNNNNNNNNNNNNNNNNNNNNNNNNNNNNNNNNNNNNNNNNNNNNNNNNNNNNNNNNNNNNNNNNNNNNNNNNNNNNNNNNNNNNNNNNNNNNNNNNNNNNNNNNNNNNNNNNNNNNNNNNNNNNNNNNNNNNNNNNNNNNNNNNNNNNNNNNNNNNNNNNNNNNNNNNNNNNNNNNNNNNNNNNNNNNNNNNNNNNNNNNNNNNNNNNNNNNNNNNNNNNNNNNNNNNNNNNNNNNNNNNNNNNNNNNNNNNNNNNNNNNNNNNNNNNNNNNNNNNNNNNNNNNNNNNNNNNNNNNNNNNNNNNNNNNNNNNNNNNNNNNNNNNNNNNNNNNNNNNNNNNNNNNNNNNNNNNNNNNNNNNNNNNNNNNNNNNNNNNNNNNNNNNNNNNNNNNNNNNNNNNNNNNNNNNNNNNNNNNNNNNNNNNNNNNNNNNNNNNNNNNNNNNNNNNNNNNNNNNNNNNNNNNNNNNNNNNNNNNNNNNNNNNNNNNNNNNNNNNNNNNNNNNNNNNNNNNNNNNNNNNNNNNNNNNNNNNNNNNNNNNNNNNNNNNNNNNNNNNNNNNNNNACGUCGCCCAUCUGUUUACCUACAUAUGGAAGUACAAAGAAAGAAUGAGAUUUGGAUCUUGAAUCUUAAUUUUUUAAGUGAAUUGUUAGGUUUUUUUAACUCAAAUUUAUUUCACUAAAGUUGUUUGGUAACAUUUUUAUUUUGAUAAAUUCGUUUAAGGUUUUUUUUUUAUUGUCUGUAAAUAUGUGAUUAUGUUUAAGGUUAAGAGUAUUGCUUUGUGAGAUACUGAUAAGCUAUUAUUAUACAAGAAAUCAUGUUUAUUGACAUAUUUUUCUAUUAAAAAAUCAACCACUAUCUAUUAAUUUAUCAUUUUUAAAAUGAUUACCAAAUACAUUAUAAAUCAAAUAAAAUUAAUUUAAAAAGAUAAUAAUUGAUGCAACAAUAUAAUUAUAUGCACCCCAUAUGAAAUUGAAAAUAUAUAAAACCAAAAAAUAUGCUUAAUUUUUCUCCAUGAUUUAGAAUAAAAAAUAUGUAAUUUUAUGUUUUUAUUUAGUAAUUGAUUUUCUUGCAUUAAAAUCGGAAUUCAAAUCUUUGCAAAUGAGUAUAAAAUUUUCUUUAUAGCAUGAUUAUAGACAAUUGCAAUAUUCAUUACCACCUGAUAUGUAUGGCAUCUUUUAUUUGAAAUAUGGCUCUGCCUCUGCAUAGAUUAUAAUUCACCAGAGUGUAGGAUAUUAUAUGUCUCUCACCUCAGACGUAUCUCUUUCAAACUGAAUAAAUGAAUUAUGAUGUCUAUUUCUUGCAUCAUCUAUCUUCUAUAACGAUAAACAAUGUGGUUCCGAUUGUAGCAUUAGCUAUUGAGAUAGUAGAAUUUUAUCGUACAGACAUAUUUUAACUGUUCCACUUCCAUUAUUUUAACUAUUUCAAUCAGAUCUGGUCGUAUCUAUGCGGUUGACACACGAAGAAUCCCAAGGCUCCCCCCUUGCAUAAAGUGCUGCAGCCUGAGGAUAUUGUUAUGAAGACAGGCCUAGCUUAUCCCCACACAUCCCACUGCCUUGCCCCUGGAGAUAUAAUGGUAUCACAUAGGCAAAUUAAUUCAGUACAAAAAACCCUUCUUUUUAACUUAAUUGUUAGUUGGUAAACUUCUUAUCUUCUUUAUAGGGACAUCGUCUGAGAGGGGGACCCCAGAUGAUAGUUGAGCUUAGAUGGGAUGCGGCUAUAUGUAACCAACUCAACUGUCUCAGCAAAUGGAUCGCAAUUCUAUCCUGAAUCUCGUGGAGAAGGGUUCCCACAUGUUACAGAUUGAUGUUGACACUUGAGAAAGUGGUCUAAAAUAAACCCGAACUUUUUGUUGACUUUGGUGCUGAACCUGAUGGCCCUUCUCUGGCUCAUGAGAUGAGAAUAUCCAGGUGGUGACUGCACUUCAGAUAUUUGGAUUUAAGCACCCUGAACCAAUUUAGCAGUGAAGAAUCAUCCUUUAUUGUAGUAGGAAAAAAAAUAUCAAUGCAAUUCCCAAUUACAAUGUGUUGAGGCAGGAUCAUCUGGAAAGAUAUAACGUAUGUAUUCAUAAACUGUAGAUCAGCACAUCUAUGUAAAAUUAUAAACAGCUGAAAGUAGUCAAUAAAGAGUCCAAAUUGCAUUAAUGUAUGAUGUAAUUCUCUUUUUUAGCUUUUAGGUAUUGGAAGUGUUAGGAAAGUGGGGUCCAGCCCCAUAUAAUUGGGUUUGGACUAAUCAAAGGCCAUAGGCUUUGGUCUUUCUUUUUAUACAAAGCCCUAGCUACUUAAUAAAAAUAUGUGAGGUUGUUUUAAGGUGAAAAAAAAGAAGGUGGUGCCGAAAAACUAAAAAAAGAAAAGAGAAAAAAGAAGCCAAGAAAAUAGAAAGAAAACGAAGAAGGGAGAGUUGGUUGAACGAAAAUCUAUCUAUAGUCUGAUUGAGUUGAAAUUUUGUCAAUAUGUUUAUGAUUCAAAGUUCUACAUUCUAAACGAUGAAGAUUGGGUUUGAGGCUCUUUAGAAACAAAUUCAAAGUAUAUUUGUUGAGUCACCUAUUUGGUGAGAUUUCUCCAAUUGUCUUUUAAUUGUUGAUUAGCUUUAGUUUUAGUUAGAGAAGAAUUUUGUAUAUGUAUUAUUUGAUAGUGGAGUUUUUUUUCUAGUGGUCCAUGGUUUUUCCCUCCAACAUUUGAGGGUUUGUCACGUAAAUCUUGGUGUGUUUAUUUUUCUGCAUUGUUAAUUAUUGAUUGUUGUCUAAUUACUGUGGGUUUAUUGCGUUAUAUGCUUCUCGUUUUAUAUUUAUUGCUUCAGGCCCAACAAUGGUAUCAAAGCAGUUCUAAGGGUGUUAGGCGAUGUACGCACCAAGGGACAGUGGGCCUACAUUGGAGUCGGAGAGAAUAUCUCGGUCCUAGAGAAGAGCCAUGAAUCCUACAUCGAUUGAGUACUAGAGUUGAUCUUGAGAUAUAAGGGUUCAUACCACCCUCUUCUUGUGAGGUGCCUUUUGUGGGACAAAAUCAUAACGCCAAAGAAGGAUCAGAGCAUAGAUAAUACCUCACAAGGGUGUGGACCUUAGGCUGAUCUGAGACGCUGGAUUAGUGUAUGCCUAGGUCCUAGAGCCUCACGGGCCUAGAGGUUGAGUCUUGGCCUAUGACAAGUGAUAUCAGAGCAAAGGUUAUUUUGAGACAUCGAUAUAAAAGUAGCCCAAGACAAAAGUAAAUUCUAUUUGAGAUCAUGGAGGGUGAUACACGUUUCAUGAUAAAAUUGACAGCAUCAAAUUAUUCAAUUUGAAAGCCUAUAAUGAAAAAGUAUUUAUACUGUAAAGAUUUGUAUGAGCCGGUAUUAGUGAUUCGGCUAAACCAACAGAUAUGAAAGAUGAAAACUGAGAAAAAUUAGGUAAAAAAAUGCUGGCUACAAUUAAAAAAUGGAUUGAUAUCAGCAUGUUCCAUAAUGUAGCAUAGAAGAUAAAUGCCCAUACUAUUUGAAAAAAAUUACCAGCAUUAUAUGAGAGAAAAAUAGAUAUGAAUAAAGUUAUACUUGUUAAAAAGCUUGCAACUUUAUAGUAUAGGGAUGGAUGAUCAAUUAUAAAGCACUUGAGUGAUUUCAAGACAUAUUUAAUCGGAUGACUACUAUAGAGCUUAAGAUGGAUGAUGAAAUGAAGGCGUUGUUUCUUUUAGGGUCAUUGCCAAACAGCUAAAAUACUCUUAUUGUGACUGUUCUUAAUUUAGUUCUUAAUUACAAGGUGACAUUAGAGAUAGUAAAAGAUAGUAUGCUCAAUGAAAAAGUAAGGUGAAAAGAUUUAGACCCUAGGAAUCAAGCUCUGGUCACAGAAAAUAGGGAUAGAAACAUCAACAAAGAUCAGAACUCAAAAGGCCAUAGUAAGUCUAAACAUAGAUCCUAGUCCAUAGAUAAAGUGAAGUAUUUUCAUUAUGGUCAAGAAAAUCAUAUAAAAUGAUACUACAAAAUCUUAAAACAAGAGUAGAAGAUGAGAAAGGCAAGAGUUCAGAUGAUGGCAAUGUUACAGUAGUGAAUUCAGAUAGUGAUUCAAUUACUUUGAUUUGUACGCAUGAUAAUUGUAAUCAUGUUGGUGAUCCCGACAUUGAGUGGAUAGUUGACACAAGAGCGGUAUAUUAUUGUGUUCUUAAGUGGGAGUUAUUUAUAACUUACAAAGCAGAAGAUUUUGGUUACACCAAGAUGAGAAAUAAUAGUGUGUUGUAGAUUGUUGAGAUUAGUGAUAUUAUUAUACAAAUUAGUAUGAGCUGCAUGUUGACUUUGAGGGAUGUUAGAUACAUUUCAAAUAAGCAAAUGAACUUACUUGCUAUUAAUGUCUUUGAUAAGGAAGGAUAUAAGAGUCAACAAAAGAAUGGAUAGUGAAAGCUUCUCAAAGUAUCUAUGGUAGUUGUAAGGGAAAACUAUGCUGCAGAAUGUACAAGACAUGGAUGCAAUUGAAUGGCAACUAGAUAAAUUCCGUUCAGGAUGAUGCUUCAGCAAACUUGUGGCAUAAGAGGCUGGAACACAUCAGCAACAAGGGGAUACAAGUUUUGGUAAGGCAGUCUCUCAUUCUUUUGACCAAAUGUACGUAUCUUGAUUCAUGUGAACUUUGUUUGUUUGGUAAGCAUCGUAGAGUUUCUUUUGGUAAGAGUUCUCAAAGAAAAGAAAAUAGAUUAGAAUUAAUUUAUUCUAAUGUAUGUGGUCCCAUUGAGAUUGAGUCAUUAGGUGGUAAUAGGUAUUUUGUUAUUUUUAUUAAUAAUGCUUCACGUAAGAUUUAGCUGUAUAUGUUGAAAAGUAAAAGCCUGGUAUUAUAGUAUUUUCAAAAAUUUUAUACCAUGGUGAAAAGGAUGAUAGGCUACACUUGAAGUGUAUUCAGACUGAUAAUGAUAGAGAAUACAUAUCCAAAAACUUUGAAGAGUACUGUUCAAAGCAUGAGAUCAGGCAUGCGAUAAUAUAACUUAGAACAUCGCAACAUAAUGUUGUAGCUGAAAGGAUGAACUGCACUAUUGUGAAAAAGGUCAGAUGCAUGUUAAGAAUGAAAAAAUUACUAAAGCCAUUUUAGGGUGAAACAGUCAACACAACUUGUUAUUUGCUUAACAAAUCACCAUCAAUUUUUUUGGGUUUUGACUUUUCAGAAAAAGUGUAGAUAAGGAAAAAUGCUUCAUACUUUCACUUGAAAGUUUUUGGGUGUAAAGUAUUCAUGCAUGUGCCAAAAGAGUAAAGGUUAAAGCUGGAUAGUAAUGCCACACAAUGUGUGUUCGUAGGACAUGGUGAUGAGAAAUUUGGCUAGAGGGUAUGGGAUCUAGUGAAGAGAAAUACAAUCAGAAGUAGAAAUGUGACCUUCCAUGAAAAAAAAUCAUAGCAGAUCUUGAAAAAAAUAAGAAGACUACAUGAGUUACUAUUAAGUGUGAUGUUUCAAUACCAAUAAAGGUUCUACAAAAAAGAGCCAUAGAAGGUGAAAAUGAGUAAAAAAUAAAACUUGAUGAUAUGAAUGAGCCAACUACAGUUAAUGAUAAGCCAAAUACAAUCAAUUUUAAGUAGGGUGAGCAGUUUUUUCAACUAAAAAGUGUUGAUCAGGGAGAGCCACCUUCGACAUUACGUGGUAUAAAGUCUCAGCCUAGGAGAUCUACUAGAUAGCCCAAGCUAUUUACCAAGUAUCCAAGUUCAUAUUUUAUUUUAGUUACUAAUGAAAGAGAGCCAGAGAGCUUCCAAGAUGUGAUGCUAUUCCAAAUAGAGAGCACUAGUUAAAAGCAAUGAAAAAAGAGAUGGAGUUAUUGCCAAGAAAAUGGUACAUAUGAUCUAGUUAAACUUUCAAAAGAGAAAGGGCCAUUAAAAAAUUAAUGAGAGUUUAAGUUGAAAAAAGAGGUGACAAGCUAGUGAAGUAACAAGCUCCAUUGAUGGUGAAAGAUUUUUCUCAUAAAUUAGGCAUCAAUUUUGAUAAGAUCUUCUAUUCAGUUGCAAAGAUGAGUUCUAUUCAAGUGGCAUUGGGAUUAGUAGCUAGUUUGAAUCUUGAGCUUGAACAACUUGAUGUUAAAACUACUUUCUUACAUGGUGACUUACAGAAGGAUAUUUAUAUGAAUCAGCCUAAGGGUUUUGAAGUGAAAGAGAAAGAGCACUUAGUUUGCAAAUUGAAAAAAACUUGUAUGGAUUAAAACAAGCUCUGUGACAGUAGUAUAAAAAGUUUGAUUCUUUUAUGAUGAGCCACAGCUAUAAAAAAAGGGUAGUGGAUCAUUGUGUAUAUGUCAAAAAAGUUUUUGAUGGUAACUUUAUUAUUCUCUUAUUAUUUGCUGAUAAUAUGUUGAUUGUGAAAUAAGAAGCUGGUAUGGUUUACAGGUUAAAAAAACAAUUGUCUAAGUCUUUUAACAUGAAGGAUUUAGGUCAAGCAAAGUAGAUACUCGGUAUGGACAUUAUCCAGGAUAGGAGAGUUGAAAAGCUAUGGUUGUUAUAAAAAAAGUAUGUUGAAUGGGUGCUUAGUAGAUUCAACAUGCAACAUGCUAAAUCAGUUAGCAGUCUACUUAUCAACCAUUUUCAUCUAAGUAACAAAUCUUGUCUGAUAACUAAAGAAGAGCAACUACCUAUAUCUAGUAUUCCUUAUUCUUUUGCAAUCGGUUUUUUGAUGUAUCUUAUAGUUUACAUGCGGCCUGACAUUGUUUACGCAAUUGAUGUAAUAAGCAAAUUUCUUUCUAAUUUGAGAAAGGUUCAUCAGAAAGCAGUAAAAUGAAUUUUUAGAUAUUUAAGGGACACUUCAAAAAUAUGCUUAAGUUAUGGAGUUUAACAACCAGUUCUAAAAGGGUUUACUGAUGCUGACAUAACAGGUAAUCAUAAUGGUAAGAAAUCUACUUCAAGGUAUUUGUUCACUUUUACAAGAUGAGAUAUAUCUUGGUAGUCUAAGUUACAAAAGUGUGUUGCUUUAUCAUCUACAAAGGCUGAGUAUAUUUCAGCAAUCGAAGCAGGUAAAGAAAUGCUUUAGAGGAAAUAUUUUUUUUUUGAAUUAAGGUUGAAUCGAAAAGAGUAUGUGAUAUUUUGUGAUAGCCAAAAUGCUUGAGAUUUGAGUAUGAAUGCCAUGUACCAUACUAAAAUGAAGCACAUUUAGAUAUCAUUAGUACGUUCAGUGAUUGAGGAACAACUAAUACUAUUGAAGAAAGUUCAUACUAAUGAAAAUGUAACAGAUAUGUUGAUUAAGACACUUGCCAAGGAUAAGCUUAAGCUCUGCACUAACUUGACCAAAAUGAGUUCCUUGGCUAAGGUAAAUUCUAAAUGAAACUACUAUAGUGAUGAAUCUCCUCCUAAUGGGGCUAAAGGGGGAGAUUGUUAGAAAAGUGGGGUCCAGCCCCAUGUAAUUGGGUUUGGACUAAUUAAAGGCCAUAGGCCUCGAUCUUUCUUUUUACACAGAGCCCUAACUACUUAAUAAAAAGAGGUGAGGCUGUUUUAAGGUGAAAAAAAAAAUGGUGUCGAAAAACCCAACAAAAAAAAAAAGAGAAAAAAGAAGCUAAGAAGAUAGAAAGAAAAGGAAAAAGGGAGAGUUGGUUGAACGAAAAUCGAUCUAUGAUCCAAUUAAGCUGAAACUUUGUCAGCAGGUUUAUAAUUCAAAGUUUUACAUUCUAAAUGGUGAAAAUCGAAUUUGAAGCUCUCUAGAAACAAAUCCAAAGUAUAUUUGUUGAGUUAACUAUUUAGUGAGAUUUCUCCAGUUGUCUCUCUAGUUGUUGAUUAGCUUUAGUUUUAGCUAGAUAAGAACUUUGUAUAUCCAUUAUUUGAUAGUGAAGAUUUUUUUCUUAUGGUCCAUGAUUUUUUCCUCUACAUUGAAAGGUUUUUCAAUGUAAAUUUUUGUGUGCUUUAUUUUUUUUGCAUUAUUGAUUGUUGAUUGUUAUCUAUUACUGUGGGUUUAUUGCAAUAUAUUGCUUCUGCAUUAUUGUAUUUAUUGCUUCAGGCCCAACAAGUGGCAUUAGAGCCAACUCUAGAGGUACUAGCUAUGUGCCAUCAAGGAUGGUAGACCCUUGUUUGAGUGGGAGUGGAUGUCAUGGUCCUAGAGAGAAGCCAUAAAUCCCACAUCAGUUGGGUACUAGAGUUGAUCUUGGGAUAUAAGGGUUUACAUCACCCUCUUCUUGUGAGGUAUCUUUUGUGGGACAAAAUCGUGAGGCCAAAAAAGGGCUAAAGUGGACAAUUUCUCAUAAGGGUGUGGAUCUUCGGCUGAUUUGAGAUGUCGAAUAAGUGCAUACCUGGGUUUUAGAGUAAUGCGGGCCUAAAGGUUGAGUCUCGACUUGUGACAGGAAGAUUGCUUUUAAAAUAAAAUUAUGGUAAUAUCAUUUUAAAAUCUGAUAUAUAACAAUUUGUUAUAUAUAAAAGUGAUAGAAAUUCCAUAGGUAGACUUUGAAAGAACAAGGUACCUAUUGCAGAAAUCCUAAUUGAUAAGAUGUUAGACUAUUAAAGAAACUAAUUAUGGCUUCUUGAUUUGCCUAAGAAAACAUAUAAUAAUAGAACAACAUGACCCCAAUUGAAAACACAAUACCUGCUUCUACCACAAACCAUUAAAUGCUAUCUCUAUGAAUGAACCAUCUUCCAAUCAUAACAAUUUCAUUGCCUAUGAAGGAAAAUGAGAUCUCUAUCAGAAGAGGAACAUCAUUCUUUUUUGAUUAAUCACUUUUUCGCUGACCUUCAACUUUCUUCAAACCAACCCAAUUUUGAUAUGAAAUAUAGAAGCUAUAUAAGGAAAGAAAUAACAACCCCCAAAAAAACAUUAAGUUCCCAUUUGCAAAGUCCUGGUCAUUGCUCUCAUAAACUAUAGUAAGAUUAGUUGCCAAGAACAAUAAAUGGUGCCAAUAGAGGUUGGCAAAUGAUUUUUCCAUUUCUAGGCAAUUACAAAUGAUGAAGAAGUAGGGCGGUACUGAUAGAAAAGCUACCAGCAAUGUUAAAUGGUAUGAAAGGAAAAGUUCACAAAUGAGGACCACUGAGAGUAGACCAGAGAGCCCAUACAUACAUAUUAGACACCAUUUGAGCCCAAAAGCUUAAGCUAUUAGGUUCUUGGGUUCUUCAUGCAUAUAUAAGACAUUUCAUUCAGAUUUUCUAAUGAUGUGAGAUUCUUUACUCACAUGUGAACCAUAUCCCAACAAUCUCUCUCGUUCACUUGUGAGUUCUGAUCAAGUCCUACCUUUACUCUCCCGUGCGAGUAAGUCUUAUCAACACCUCCAUAGGGCUAAGCAACCUCACAUCUCUAGUGCUUUUUUUUGGAUAGGCCACAACACUCAACCUUACUACCUAGGUUGUCUUAUUGCUCAUUCAAGCUUACACUCUAGGUUAACUCAACAUAUCACCCACUUGGCCAGCAACACUAUUGGGACUCGAACCCGUAACUUCUCAAACCCAUCAUAAUUUUAGCUUUGAUACUACUUGUUGGGAAGAUAAACCAUAUUUGGAGCUUAUGAGAGCACAUCAGAGAGCCCAUACAUACAUGUUGGAUACCACUUGAGUCCAAAAGCUUAAGCUAUUAGGUUCUUGGGUCCUUCAUUCAUAUAUAGGACAUCUCAUUUAGAUUUUCUAAUGAUAUGAGAUUCUUUACUCACAUGUGAAUCAUAUCCCAACACAUAUAGCAAACCAUGGCUAAAAGCAAGGAAAGCUCUGUUCCAUGGAAAGUUGGCCAUGGUUUUGUUAUCUUUGGUAUAGAAAAUGAACAAUUAAUUUGAUAGAAAGAAUUGAGAAAAAUGAAGAUGAUGGGGCUUUGUUUGCUUCAAAUCGAGAUAAGUUCAUAUCUCGGAUGACUUCAUUUACUAGCAUUUUGAGUCAACGGGAAGGUAUGAACAAGUUGGAUCAAGAUUAAGACCACUUGACAUGUGACAGCUGCCAUGGUCAUUUUUAAAGGAAGUGAGUCAGUGAAUUAAACUAUAUUGGCUUGGUUUUUUUCCUUUGAUUUCAUUUAUUUUUUUCAUUUUCCACCGAUAUUUUCAAAGUAGGGCCCCAUGCUGAAUAAAUUUAACAUAACACUAUUUUUUUUUCCAAUAGUCACACUAUCCCUUAAUUUUAACUUUCCCAAAAUUUCUAUAAGGAUUACUACGAGAUGAUUCUGAUAAUUAAAAAGUAAUUAAAUUUUAAAUGCAUUUAGUUGAUGCAGGGGAUCUUAAAAUCUUAAAUGCAUUCAAUUGAUGCAGGGGAUUUUAAAAUCGUACGAAAAAAAUUAUAUUUAGACAAAUCAUGAGAUAAGUGAACCGUCUUAACCAAAAAAAAAAUGGUAGAUGGGUAGAAAUAUAUAUUUUUUAUUUUAAGAAAAAUUGAAACCCUUCCCUUUGAGUAGGCGAUUUAUGCCUACCAUUGAGACAUGCUCAAGUGAGCAGUUGUUUCUCAUAUAAAAAUAUAAAUCACAAUUUGAAGCUGAUUUAAUAAAAUUUCUACCAUCUAAUCAUUAGCACUUCAGCAUUAUUACCCAUUUGUGUUGAAUUCUUUUCUGCCUUUGCAAAACAGAUAUUUCAUUUAGUAUUUUCAGACAUUUCUAAGUCAAACUGAAAUAUUUUCAUAUAUACAAAAGUGGAAGUCGUCAAAUUGCCUGACUUUGAAUCUUAAUCAACUUCAGAAUAGUUUUGUAAGCUUCCCCCCUUUUUACUAACAAUUGCCUCUUCAAACAACCUAUAUCCCUCUUCACAACCUAUAUCCCUCUUCACAACAUUUAUUUCUUGCUUGACCACCUCAAUUCUAUCUCUCAGCUGCAAAUCUUUCUUCCUGUCUUCAUCACAGCCUUUUCCAUCAGCUGUUUAACAAAAUGAAAGCAUUGAUAAUCAGCAUGGUGAGUCACAAUGAUCUCCUACUUUCUUUUGGGCUGGCAUAUUGACCUCUUUCAAGAGCUUCUUCUCCAUGGCCAUGUUAUUGGUUCCAUGACGCAUUCGAAAACACAAGAUCUGGGUCAAAUUUUAGCCGUCCCGUAAGGACCCCAAAGCAGGAAAGAAGAUAACGGAACCAAUUGACCAAUUAAGUCUAGGAUUCAUCCUUACGUGGAUAUUAAUCUUCUCUUCUGUAUUGAUACUCUCUCCUUAUACGCAUUAUUUGCAAAAGUGAGCUUGUCUAGGUCUCGUUUAGAGAAGCCACUUUCUUCCCAUUAUCGGUUCACCUAUUUCUGAAACACUUCUCUCUAUAUUCUAAAUGGUAUAAUUGGGAAAAUGCCUGGCGUUCAUCAAACCGUUCAUAAUGUCCAAAAAAACUAGGUCACUUGUCUUUAGUUUCUAACAAAUUUUGCAGAAAUUAAGAUUUAAUAAAAAAAAACUAUGGUGUACUUUAAUUAUAGUUUCACUUAGUUUUUCUUGCCUUAUUCUUCUUGUUCUUGAAUCAUUAUAAGCGACAUAUACAUUAAGAACUGAACUCAAAAUACGAAUAUCUAUGGUUUCAUUCAUAUAGUAACCCUUAAAAAGUAACAUUUAAAUGCAACAGGUCUAAAUUUUAAAAUUGCAACGUUGCAAUGUCUUUUUAUUUAUUUUUUAUCUCAUUUUGCAACUUUAGAUAAUCUGAAUAUAUAUCUCAAAAUUUACAUCAUAAUAUUGGCAGCCAUGCGCACGUCACGUGAGUUCAACUCAAAGUAACAAGGGUACAUACAAUCAGAUUUUAGUAGAGAUCUUUAAGUCAUAAUGCUUCUCUUGUAAAAAAAAAAAAGAAAUCAUAGCCAAGUUUGCUUUUAAUUGUUUGAAUUGUUAUAAUGCAAUUGAAUUGAUAUAAUUAAGCCUAGUUGUCUCCUUUAUCUUCUUUGUGAUUCAAAAUAAGUCUUUAUUCAUAUUUGACAUCAGCUUCAUAACCAUAUCACUAUGUUUUAUUUCAAAUUAUCAGAUCUAUUUAUGCUUCAAGCUAACUAUAGUUUAAUUCAAACCCCACCAACAAUUUUUUAUCAAUUCUUUUUGAGUUAGUCAUUUAUCAAAAUUGUUCAAUGCAUCAUGAAACAUACAAGCAAAAUAAUCACAUAACUAAUAAAACGAGAUAUUUACCAAUUUUUAAUUCCGAUUAACAACUAUCAUGUUUAUCUCGUUUCUUAUGGAAUAGGAAUCAUUGCAAUUUCAUUUUUUUAAACAAAUUUCAUAAACCUAUAUAAAAAUUUGACAAUAUGAGAAUUAAAUUGAAAAAAUACCUAUAUGUAUAAGUGUAAGAAAUACAUGAAUAUAACAUUGUCCAUAAAAAAAUUAUAUAAAAAUGUGUUUUGUAGCUCGACAACAUCUAUUUCAACAAUUGAUUUUAGAUUAAUUUUUGGUAUAAAGAAACGCCCAAACUUAGGGGCUAAGAUAAGAGAAAUUGUGCCAGACAAAUAAUACAAUGAAAUGAAGUUAUUGCUUUCUUGUUUUCGAAUUAAUUAAUGGAGCUCUUGUUAUGUAACUUCUUGUUUUAGGCAAGAAAAUGUGCCUAAACGUUAUUUUAUAACUUUGGGCUUGAUCAAAAUGUAAGUCUUAACCUUGUCUUGGUCACCUAUAAUUUUUUUUUUUUAAUAUUAGAGCCCAGUCCAAGCCUUACUGGAGUUGAUCUAAUAACACAGCUCUACAAGUGGCACAACAAAAGUUGGACCCAUUGAGUUAAAUUGCGUUCUAUUGUUUGAAUUGCUCUUGAUCAAAAUUUAAUUUUUAGCAAUUUUUUAUAUAGGAAAAAAAAUUAUGAAUUCAUUUUUUAAAAAAUUUGGUUUACCUUACUCUAAAAAAAAUAUGUUACUUUAGUAAUUUUGAUAACAGAAUAAAAAACUCUAUUGUCUGUGAUAAUUUUUCAAACAUUAUUUAGGUUUUAUUUAGUUUUUUGCAUGCUAUAUUAAGCUAUAAGACAAAAUAUAAUCCUUUUAAUUUCAUCUUAAAUUUCAAACCUAAUACUUUCAAGAUAAAAUCUUAAACUUAAAGAAUUCGGAGGAUCCCUUACUUUUAUUAGUUCAGGAUCAAAUUUUUAUUUUAAAAUAAUAUUAAUUAUUUGAACUUAAAUAUGUGUGUAUACAUAUACAUAUAAAUUUAUGCAUGAAGAUGUAAAUUUUAUCGUUUUUUAAAUUUUCAUUUUAAGACUUUUUGUAGAAAAUUUUUUUUAACUAUUCAAUUUAAUUUAGUAAAAAAAAAAAGCUAAAUUGAUAUACUUUAGUAGAUUUUCUUCUAAACAAAUCUAAAUUUCAUUUUUUAUUGAGUUAUUGAUUUUUUUUAUUUCUUUUUUAAAGCAAAUUCCAAGGAAAAUAAAAGGCAAGGCCUAAUUGAAUGAAAAUUGUCUUUCAAUGAUAUAUUUAAUUUUUAAAACAAUACAAAUUAUUUGAAUUUAAGGGUAUAUAUUUUUUAUUUACGUGUAAAGAUAUAAAUAUACAUAAAACACAACAUUAAUUAGAAAAAGAAAAGUAAUCUUGUAAGGGGCUAAUUACUUGACACUCGUCAAGCAAUUAUUGAAAGAAACUUUCAAAAAGGAAAAUAAAGUUGCUUGUCUCAUUGAAGAUACUAUUGAAGUCCACAUCACUACAGACUACUCCUCCAAGUUAUUUCCCAUUAAUUUCCAUUCCGCGUAUGAAUUUCUUGGAUCAGACAAAAUGAUUUAAUGAACCUUUUUCUUGGUUGGUUCCUAGUCAUAGUAACAGCGCCCCCCCCCCCCCUCCCCCCUCCCAAAAAAAAAAUUGAAUACUAACUAUUAGUAACGAUCCUUACAGUGUAAUAUUCAGAUGGAUGUGCUAAGUUUCCAAAACCCAUUUUCUCCAUUGCAUUUUUUUCUUUGACUUCCCUUGGCUGCCAAAGGUUUCUCUGAAGUAUCUUCUUCAAUUUUUUUAAUUUCUUUUUUAAAGCAAAUUCUAAGAAAAACAAAAGGCAAGACCUAAUUGAAUGAAAAUUGUCUAACAAUGAUAUCUUUAAUUUUUAAAAUAAUAUAAAUUAUUUGAAUUUAAGUUUAUAUAUUUUCUUAUUUAUGUAUGAAGAUAUAAAUAUAUAUAUCAAGUACAAUAUUAAUUAAAAAAAAAAGAAAAGUAGUCUUUCAAAGAGCUAAUUAUUUGACACUCAUCAAGCAAUUAAUAAUAUUUUAUAAUUUUUGUAAUUCUUUUAGAAAAAUAUUUUUUACAAAGUAUUUAUAUUAAUUUUUAAAAUUUUUUUGUAAUUUUUUACCCAAAAGCUUUUUUUUAUCUAAAAGUUUAUUUAAACAAUUUAGUUUUACCUUUAUUUUUAAUUAAUAUAAAACAAUUAUUAAACAUCCAAUCAUAAGAUGACAAAUGUCGUCAAAUUGGAUGCCUUACAAAUAAUAAUAAAUUUGGAGACUAUUUUUUUAUUUAAAGGUACAAGGUUCUUGAAUUCUACCAAGUUCAUCCUUCUCUAGAUCGAUUUUAAAUAGAUUUAUUUAUGUUGGGUCUAACAAAUUCAUGAGAAGUUAUCCUUUCAUAGCCUUUCAGUGGAUUCAAACCUAGAUAACAAAAAGAAAACGCAACUUGUUUGCCAUUGAAAUUAACCAUAUGUUAAUAGAUUUGGGAACUAUUUGAAAUAAUAAUAAUAGAUUUAUUAAAUUUUAAAAUAAAAACUAAUUGAAGGGUAAUUAUAAAGCAACAUGUGUCAUAAAAUGGAAACUUCAAUUGAGCAAUUAUUUACUGUUUCAAUUAGGGGAUAACUUUGUAUUAUGGCAUAGAUUUUAGAAUAUGUAAAAUAAUAAUAUAUAUAAAUAUUUGUCAACACUAAUGGAGUUCAAAUUUUAGAGAUUUAAGAUAGUAUCGAGUCUAGUAAUUAGUAGCUUUUACCCUUUAUGAAAAAUCAAAUAUUAAAAUUUAAAAGAUUAUCUCUAUAUAUGGUUGAUAAUGAUGAGCACUUGUUGUAAUAAUAAAAGUAAGGUUUUAAAAUUUACAAAUUUAAGUUCAAAUUGCACCACAUAUUCAUUUAAUUUAAUUUUAUAUUGGUUUUGCUUAUUAAUUUAUUUUUUUCCGUAGAAUGAGCAUAAUUUAUAGAGGAAGAGAGAGGAGAUCUUAGUUUCAAAAUCAAGAUUUCUAUAUUAUUCUAAAAAUUCUUUAAUCACUAAAUCAAGAAGUUGAGGAUAAAGUAUUAUGUAAUAUAUUAUUUAAAUUCAAACAAAAUAUUACACACACUUUGUAAUAAUAAUGUUAAUGUUUAUGUAAUUAGAUAAUAUAUAUAUAUAUAUAUAUAUAGGGGAGGAAUCAACUUACACUAGUGAUUUCUAUAUUACACAAAAUAUUACACACACUUUUUAUUAACAAUUGAUUUCAAUAGAUCCAAGGGAUGAGAGACAUAAAAUGAAAAAAAAAAAGUUUUACAUUUGUUUUUAAUUAUUGAUUUUAAUAGAUCUAUGGAAUGAGAGACACAAGUGAAAAAGAAAUGCUUAACCUCAUCCCUUAAAUUUAUUGAAAUAGAUAGUAAAAAAAUAUAUAAAACUUUUUUGGUGUAACUUAAUUCUUCUCCAUCCAUAUAUAUAUAUAUAUAUAUAUAUAUAUAUAAUUGAUGGUCUAUGCUUUAUAAAUUCUAAACCAACAAUAACAUAGAUAUGUAGUGCUAUCAUGUUUUUAACAUCUUAAACUAAAACUUUUAAAUUAAUUGAAUAUUUUUCCUCAGAAAAAAAAAAGAAUAUUUUCAACCAUAUGCAUUUUAAGAUAAGAAAUACAUACAUAUAUAUAUAUAUCCUUUUAACAAAAAUUCAAAAAUAUAAAAAAAAACUUAAAUUUGGUAGACCAUGUAAUAUACCAUAAUUAACAUUGAUACUUUUAUAGAUCACAAUGCAAAUAUAUAAUAUAAUUAUAUAUUAUUAGUAAAAAAACUUAUAUAUUAUUAGUAAAAAUAUAGGUAUUUUUAGUAAAAAAAUUUUAAAAUUUUUUUACUAUUAAAUAAGUAUUCAUCAAAUUAAAAUUAUAAAUGAUAUAUAUAUAUAUAUUUUACUUAUUAUUGAUUUUUCAAUGAACUCUAUCAAUCAAUUGAUUUUUACUAGCAAACCGUGGCUAAAAGCAAGGAAAGCUCUGUUGCAGGGAGAGUUGGCCAUGGUUUUGUCGUCUUUGGUAUAGAAAAUGAACAAUUAAUCUGAUGGAAAGAAAUGAGAAAAAUGAAGAUGAUGGGUCCUUGUUUGCUUCAAAUAGAGAUUAGUUCAUAUCUCGGAUGACUUCAUUUACUAGCAUUUUCAGUCAACGGGAAGGUAUGAACAAGUUGGAUCAAGAUUAAGACCACUUGACAUGUGACAGCUGCCAUGGUCAUUUUUGAAGGAAGUGAUUCAGUGAAUAAACAUAUUGGCUUGGUUUUUCUCCUUUGAUUUGAUUUAUUUUUUCCCAUUUCCCACCGAUAUUUUCAAAAGUAGGCCUCAUGCUGAAUAAAUUUAAGAUAACACUAUUUUUUCCCAAUAGUCCACUAUCCCUCAAUUUUAACUUUCGCAAAAUUCCUACAAGGAUUACUAUGAGAUGAUUCUGAUAAUUAAAAAGUAAUUAAAUCUUAAAUGCAUUAGUUGAUGCAGGGGAUUUAAAUCGUAUGAAAAAAAUUAUAUUUAGACAAAACAUGAGAGAUAAGUGGACCGUCUUAAACAAAAUAAAAAAAUGGUGGAUGGGUUGAAAAUAUAAUUAUUUAUUUUAAGAAAAAUUGGAACCCCUCCCUUUGAGUGGGCGAUUUACGCCUACCAUUGAAUCAUGCUCAAGUGUGCAGUCGCUUUGAGUGGGCGAUUUAUUGCUGGUUUUGGGAUGAAAUAAUUCCUAUGAAUAUUCCAGUGCAACUCCCAUAUCUGUUUACAGAGCUCAAGAAAAUGUAAUAAAUAAAAAAAGAAACUUAAGAUAUAAUUAUUAUCAUUAUUUAUAUUGGGAAUUGAGUGGUUUCAACUCAGCUUUUUAAACAAAAUAAAAAGCACGCUUCAAUUAUUAAAUCAAAUAUUUGGUUGGAUUAAUUUCUAAUUUUUUAUCAUUUAAAAAAUCUUUAAUUGUUUGAUUAUCAAUUCUAAUAAUAGAAUUUUCAGUUAUUAAAUAAAUAUGAAAUUUAAUUACUGUAUUUUUUAUAGCAAAUAAUUUUUUUUCAAAUAUAAUAUACUUUAAUUUAUUGGGUUUAAAAUUUCCUAAAUUAUAAUCAUAAAUUAAUUCUUAAUCAUGUACCUUUAGUUUAAGUAUACAUCCUAAAUGUUGGUAUGAGGCGUGUGUUUCGAGAAUAAGCAAUUCUCCUAAUUUAGGAAGAUAUACAUUAGGUAUAAAUUUAAGAUCUGAUUUUAUUUGCUUAAUAAUAUCAUAAUCAUUUUUUAUCCAAGAAAAAGGUGUAUCCUUUUUUAGUUUUUCUUGUAAAACUUUCUCAUCUUUAGAAGAUUCUUAAUGAAUUGCUUUACAAAAUUAAAAAGUCAUAGAAAACUUUGAAGUUGUUUUUUAUCUUUUAGUUUUUCUAAAAUUCAUUAAUUUUUAUUAUAAUAAUGGCCUUGUAAAGUAAGACUUUCUAAAAUAAAUUUAAGUUUAAGAACUCUAUAUUAGCUUUUUCAAGCUCUAUCUUUCUAGAUUUUAAUAUUAUAUCAUGUUUUAUAAAUUUUUGAGCUAUGAGAUUUAAGUGUUUCCUGUGCUUAUUUAAUGUUUCAAAAAAUAUAAGUAUAUCAUCAAUAUAUACUACAUAAAAAUCUUUAUAUUUUUCAAAAAUUGUAUCCAUCCAUCUUUAAAAGAUUUGUGGAGCAUUACAAAAGCAUUACAAAAUUCGAAAGGCAUAACUCUCCAUUGAUAAUGGCUUUUAUGAGCACUGAAAGCUGUUGAAAAUUUUUUACUUUUUAGUUAACAUUAUUUGCCAAAAUUAAAAAAAUUAGUAAAAUAUUUAACAUUUUUUGCUAAAUUUAUUAGUACAUCUUUUCUUGGAAUAAAAUAACCAUAAAAUAUUAAAUGUUGAUUAAGCCUGUUAUAGUUUAUUACAUUAUGGCUUUUCCUCUUUUUUGCUUAGCAUGAUUUCUUUCCAUAAAUACUGGGCUUGAAUGUGGACUAGUAGUGAGCUUUAAAUUCCAUUUUGUAAAAGCUCAUUAAUUUGUAUAUCAAAUUUGUCUAUAUUUUGUUUAGUAUAGAUAAUUGGUUUUACUCUAAUUAUUUUCUUUGAAUCAAGAAUUUUUAAACUAAGACUUCUAGACUAUAAUUUUAAUUGUUCAUCACUUAAGCUUUCUUUUAAGAUUUUAUAUAACCAGUGUGUUUCACUUAUUGUUUUAAUUUCAAUUUGCUUGGUUUCAGAUAGGAAAUCAUAGUCACAUAUAUGUUUAUGAUUUUUUACUAGUGGUAGUUUAUAGCUUUUUUAUUUAUAGGAAAUACAAUAUUAUUAGGAUUUAAACAGUAAAGUAAAUAAUUGUAUAUAAAAUUAUUUUCUAAUAACAUAUCACCAGGCAUAAAAGGAAAAUAUAAAAUUUUUGGAAUUCUGAAUUUUUUACUUUAUAUCUUAUUAUAGUUUCUUUUCCAUUAAUUCCUAUUACUGCUAUAGAAUGUUUAAUUGGCUCCUAUUUUUCCAAUGGUAAAGCAUUACUUCUACAAUCACAUAUAGUAACUCCAGUAUCUAUUAAAACAUUUAAAAAGUAUCAUUUAUACUGUUUAAAUUUAAAUUUUGCUUCAACAUAAUUGUACUGCCUUUUUGGUUGAUUUUUUGAAAAUGUAAUAACUUCAUCAUUACCUAUUUUUUAUUGGUUGAUUAAGCUAGACUUCGAAUAUCAUCUCUUCUAGUAUUUUCAAAAGAAAUUAAAUUUAAAACAGAGUUUACUGAAUUGUAAACAUAGUUUACAUGUCUUUGACUAAUAGUAUUGCCAAGAAAUAUAGGGAUAUUUAUAUUUUUUUUACCUGUUGAUUAAGGUUGAAAAUGAAAAGAUGGUCUGUAUGAUUGUUCACUAGCAAUACUCUCAGCAUCUUUAUUAUCUCUAUUUGAGAAUAAAGGUAUGGAAGAGGAUGACGGUAGAACUAGAUUGUUACUAGAACUACUUUCUUCAUGAUUUUUAAAAUAAAGGUUAUUUCCUUAUGCAAAAAAUUCAAUGGGUUUUAUUAUUUUAUCAGAAGAAAUAGGUUUUGUAAUUUCCUCUAAUAACCAUCCAAUUGGUACUUAUAGAUCUCUAAGAUUUAUUAGUCUUGGUUUAAUUUUUGAAUCAAAAGGUUUGGGUUCAAAUAUUUCAAUAAUAUUAGAAUUUAUUUCUUUAAGAGAUGUGAAAGUAUGAUUAGUAAAUUCACUAAUAGCUAUCAGUUUAUAGACAGAUCAUGAGCCACAUUUCUAAUUUUUGGCUUUUUUGUCAUUAUUUUAAGUCUAAGGCAAUCUUUUAUUAAUGGGUCAUUAGUAGAAAUAAAAUAGUUUGGUUUUACUUUAAACCAAAUAGCUCCUGAUAUAAUAUUUGAUUGUAUUCCUCCUAUUAGUGCUUUAAUAGGAUUUUCAAAUCUUUUAUCUACUAAUAUUGCUAUUAUUGGUAUAUCAUUACCAACUUUGAGUAAUGCUUUUAUAGUUAUCAUAAUUAUUCCUAAAUGUAUAUAUCUCACUUUAGGAUAUUUUUGUUUAAUUUUCCUAAUUUUUUAUUUAGUGAAUAAAAAAAUAUUUAUAGAUCUUUGAUUAGAAUCAGGAGCUAUGUUAUUUCCACUAAAAUUUUCUAUCUGUCUAUGUGUCCAUGGUUUGAACUUUGAAAAGAUAGAAAGUUUAUAUAUUUCAUCUUUCUUUAAUGAUUGCAGUUUUCUAACAAUUCAUCUAAAAUAGUAAUAUCGUGUCCAAGACAUCACUUAAUUUUGUCACUUGCUAUUCUUCAGUAGGUAUAUCUUUAGUUUCAGAACUAAGUUGAUUCUUAGCUUCUGAUAUAGAAUUACUACUAGAAUUGAUUAUGAAAAUAUACUCAUCAUCAUUUGAAUCAAAAUUUGUUUUAGAAAUUAAUUCAUAAAUAAUUUUUUCUUCAGAAAACUUCUUUUCUAAAACAAUUUUCUAAAUCUCAUUUUUCAAGAGUUUUGAUAAAUUUUUUAACAUUUUUUCCUUUGUUAGGACAUUGGGGUGCAAUAUGACAUUUUUCAUCACAAAUAAAACAUUUGCAUUUGGAUUUGUUUUUAGAAGUUUUUCUUCUCACAUAUUUUUUUCUUUUUGUCAAAUUUAUGCUUUUUAGGCUCUAUUUGACCUAUUUAUAUCUUCUUUUCUUUUUGAAUUUUUUAGAAUAGGUUUUAGAUUAAGAUUUACAUUCAAAUUCGUAUUCAUUUUCUAAUAUUUUUGUGCAUUGUUUAUUACUUAAUCUACUUUUCACUUGCUUUACAAGCUUUGUCUUAAGGCAAUGUUCUAUAAUUUGUUUAGAAGCAAAAUAAACUCUAUUUCCUAUAGAAUCUAAAUAAUCUCUAUUUUCUACUAUAGGGUUAUGGGGUUCCAAAUAUUUGGGAUAUUGUUGAUUAUAGAGUUCAUCCAACGAUGAUGAUAAUUUAUGAAAAUAUUAUUCUUUCCAAAAUUUUGAAUGUAAUUCAUCCAAUUUUUGGUAUUCAUGAAAAAACAUUUUAGAAAAUUCUUUUAAUUGUCUUAUAUCACUUAAUUUUAUCUUGGUUAAUAACUAGUUUCACUGUUUUGAUCAGUUGGUUCCAUUCUUCCAUAAAAUUCAUUUUGUAAGAUUUUUUAAAAAAUUUGGUAUAGUUGUAAUGAGCUCUUUUUACUUAUGAAUUUUCCCAUUUUUGCCAAAAUUGCAAAGCAUCCCUUUGAAAUGUUCCACAAAAAUAAUUUAGAAAAAAAUUUUUAGACCAAGUGUCUUUAUUAGUUGUUUGCUACAAUAGUCACAGAUUGUGCCCAAUCUUCUAUAGUUUUUCUAUAGUCAUUUAUGGAGAUUUUUGAAAGAUCUAAAUACAUACCUCAUUGAGCUAUAUUUCUUUUAUUUAAAGAUUCUAUAAAAGUAAAUUGUGGUAUAGGUUUUGUAAUAGAUUCAGAAGAUGUUCGAAUUUUAUUUUAUUUCAUCUUUAUAAUCAUAUUCUGUUCUAUUUUCAAACCUACUUUGAUCAUCUAUUUCUUGGUUAGAAAUUUCUUCUACUUUUCUUUUUUCCUUAUCAACUUUUUGUUGAUCAAGAUCCAUAGGUGUAGGUCUAGUAUUGAUAUCUCCAUCUACUUUUUCAGAGGAUGAAGAUUAUGUGCUACUAUAUUAUUUUUUUAGUUCUGUGUCAGUAUUAAGAUUUUGUCUUUGUCUUUGUCUUCUUCCUUUGAACUACUUUCAUCGGUAGUAUCAUAAUUAAAUAUAUGAUAAUAAUUAAAUUUUUUAAAUGGUUCUAUAUGUGUUUCAUAAAUUUCUUCUAUCAUAUUUAAAUAAUCGAUCAUUUCUUUAGGAACAAUUGCUUUUUCCAUUUUAUACUUAAGAUAUUUUAUAAAACUUUUAUCGGAUUUUAAAUCCAAUUGUUUUGCUUUAAAAAAUUUCGUUGGUUGGGAAGAUGAUGGUUUAUCAUCUUUAAGUGUAAAAAUAGCAUUACCAUAAUAUAAUGGUCUGAAGUUAUUUGUCUGACUUUUAUCAACUUCUAAUAAUUUAAAUUUUUUAUUAAUAUUUACUAAUAACUGUUUAGAUUCUUAGUUUAAAUCUAAACUAGUAACUUGUCCUAAACUAUCUAUUUUUUAUUCUAGUAUAUCAACUUUAGUGAACAUAUUUUUAAAGAAAAUAGUAGAUAAAUCAAUUAAACUAUUUAUACUAUAACUGAUUGCUAGAAUAUGAUUUUUUUAAUUGAAAAUCCACAUGUAGACUAUGAUUAUGAAGGUUUUUUGAGCAAACAUAGUUUUCAAUUUUUUGCUACAUGUUAUUGGUAUCUAAAACCGUUUGUAUACCAUACCAAGAUCUCUAAAGCUAGAUUAAAAGGCAACAACAAAGCCACAACACUAGCACAGAGAUAGUAAACAGAUAUAUGAGUUUUAAAACAUAAAGCUAAAAAUUAAAAAUUGAGAAAGUAAAUAAAUACUUAUAAAGAUAGCUUGAAAUUGGAAACCUCAUAUAGAAUAUAGAUAUAUCAACCUUGAUAUAUAUAAAUACAAACUAGAAAUAAUUAAGGUUCUUUGACCGUAGAUAAGAUUCUGAUACCAAUUACAAGAGAAAGGGGAUGUGAGAAAGAGAUAUUACAAGAGAGUAUAGAAAAGAGGGAGAGAGAUGGGCUAGGUAUCCGAUCCCUCUCUAAUACAAUCUUCAAUAUUUAAGCUUAACAAAUUUUGUUCUUAUCUAAUUAUGAAGUUAGGCUUGAAGUUAGGCUUAAAGUUAGGUAGAUAUUUAUUACAAAAGAGAUAUUUAUAUAUCCUUAUUUGCUUUUGGUAGAUUUGAAAAAAUACCUAUAAGUAUAAUUUAUGUGUAUGAAAUAUCUGAAAAUAACAUUGUCCAUAUAAAAAUGUGUUUUAUAACUCAACAACAUCUAUUUUAACAAUUGGUUUUAGAUUAAUUUUUGGUACAAAGAAAUGCCCAAACCUGGGGGCUAAGAUAAGAGAAAUUGUACCAGACGAAUAAAACAUUGAAAUGAAGUUAUUCCUUUCUUGUUUUCAAAUUAAUUAAUAGAGCUCUUAUUAUGUAACUUCUUGUUUUAGGCAAGGAAAUGUGCCUAAAAUUGUGUUCUAUUGUUUGAAUUGCUCUUGAUCAAAAUUUAAUUUUUAGCAAUUCUAGAUAUAGGAAAAAAUUAUGAAUUCUUUUUUUUUUAAUUUUGUUUACUGUACUCUAAAAAAUAUGUCGCUUUACUAAUUUUGAUAAUAGAAUUCAAAAAUUCUAUUGUCUGAUAAUUUUUUAAACAUUAUUUAGGUGUUAUUUAGUUUUUUACAUGUUAUAUUAAGCUAUAAGACAAAAUAUAAUCCUUUUAAUUUCAUCUUAAUUUUCAAACCUAAUACUUUCAAGAUCAAAUCUUAAACUUAAAGAAUUCGGAGGAUCCCUUCCUUUUAUUAGUUUGGGAUUAAUUUUUUAUUUUAAAAUAAUAAAAUUAUUUGAACUUAACUGUAUAUAUAUAUAUAUAUAUUUAUGCAUGAAGAUAUAAAAAAUCAUAACUUUCAACAUUUUUAAAAUUUUCAUUUAAGAUUUUUUGUGGAUAAAUAUAUUUAACUAUUCAAUUUAAUUUAGUAAAAAAUAGGUAAAUUGAUAUAUUUUAGUAGAUUUUCUUCUAAACAAAUCUAAAUUAUUUAAAUUUAAGUGUAUAUAUAUUUCCUUUUUUAUAUAUGAAGAUAUAAAUAUAUAUAAAGUACAACAUUAAUUAAAAAAAAAAGGAGUCUUCUAAUGGGCUAAUUACUUGACACUCAUCAGGCAAUUAUUAAUUUUUUAAUAAUUUUUUGUAAUUUUUUUAUAAAAAUAUUUUUUGAAAAAUAUUUUUAUUAAUUUUUUAAAUUUCUUUUGUAAUUUUUUACCCAAAAACUUUUUUAUCUAGUGCUUAUUUAAAUAGUUUAGUUUUAUCUUUGUUUUUAAUUAAUAUAAAAAAAUUAUCAAACAUCCAAUCAUAAGAUGACAAAUGUCCCCAAAUUGGAUGCCCUUAUGAAUAUUAGUUGAUUUGAUGACCACUUUUUUUUUUAUUUAGUGGUACGAGGUUGCUAGAUUCUACCAAGUACAUCACUUACUAGACUGGUUUAAAUAAGUUUAUUUAUGUUAGGCCUAGCAAAUUCAUGAGAAGUUAUCUUCUGGUAGCCUUUCAGCAGAUUCGAACGUAGGUAACAAAAAGGAGACAUACUUUUUUUACCAUUUGAAUUAAUCAUAUUUUGAUAGAUUUGGAAACUAUAAAUAAUAAUAAUAGAUUUAUUAAAAUUUAAAAUAAAAUUUAAUUGAAGGUAAUUAUAAAGCAACAUGCAUCAUGCAAUAAAAGCUUCAAUUGAACAAUUAUUUGUGGUUAUAAUUAGAGAAUAACUUUUAUAUUAUGUAAAUUGACAAUAUAUGUAAAUAUUGCUCAUCACUAAUGAAGUUCAAAUUUUAGAGAUUUAAGAUAGUGUUGGGUCUAGUAAUUAGUAGAUUUUAACUUUUGUGAAAAAUCAAAAAUUAAAAUUUAAAAGAUUAUCCUCUAUAUAUGGUUGAUAAUUAUGACAUUUUGUUUUAAUAAUAAAAGUAAGGGUUUAAACUUUAUAAAUUUUAGGUUCAAAUGGCACCACAUAUUCUUUUAAUUUAAUUCUAUAUUGGUUUUACCUAUUAAUUUAUUUUUGUACAUAGAAUGGGCAUAGUUUAUGAGGGAAGAGAGAGAAGAUCUUGGUUUGGAAAUCAAGAUUUCUACAUCUUGUAAAAACUCUUUAAUCACUAAAUCAAUAAGCUGAGGAUAAAAUAUUUUGUAAUAUAUUAUUUAAAUUCAAACAAAAUAUUACACACACUUUGUAAUAAUAAUGUUAAUGUUUAUGUAAUUAGAUUAUAUAUAUAUAGAGAGAGAGAGAGAGGGAAGGAAUCAAUUAACAAUGGUAUAAAACAUUUUAGUUUAACAUUUUUUUCUAAUUAUUAUUUUUAAUAGAUCUAAAGGAUGAAAGACACAAGUACCAAAAAAAAGUUUAAUCUUUUCUCUUGAAUAUAUUAAAAUUAAUAAUUAAAAAAAAUAUAAAACUUUUUUGGUGUAACUUAAUUCUUCUCUCUCUCUCUCUCUCUAUAUAUAUAUAUAUAUAUAAUUGGUAGUCUAUGCUUUAUAAAUUAUAAACCAAUAACAACCUACAUAUGUGGUGACAUCAUGUUUUUAACAUCUUAAACUAAAACUUUUAAAUUAAUUCCUAAGAAAAAAAAAAGGAAUAUUUUUCAACCAUAUGCAUUUUAUGAUAAGAAAUAUAUAUAUAUAUAUAUAUAUAUCCUUUUAACAAAAAUUCAAAAAUAUAAAAAACUUAAAUUUGUAUUUACUAGAUCAUGUAUACUAUAAUUAACUUUGAUACAUAUUUAGAUCUCAAUACAAAUAUAUAAUAUACUUAUAUAUUAUUAGUCAAAAGAUAAGUAUUUUUAAUAAAUAAAAAAUUUAAUAGAAUUUUUAUUAUUAAAUAAGUAUUCAUCAAAUUUAAAUUAUAAACGAUAUUUUUAACAAUUUUUUUUUACAUAUUAUUGAUCUUCUUAAUAAACUUCAUCAAACAAUCAAUUUUUAUUUUUUAUUUUAAUUUUUAUUACAUUAUUUUUAAUAAAAAAUUUCACAAACAUCAUUUAAAUAACUUCCCAAAAAAUUUCCCUACCUUAAUAUUACCUGGCCACCAACCUCUUCUCUUUUGUUCUUUCUUCUAAUAAAGUAACAAUAUAAAAAAGGUUUAAGGUCCACAUAAUUUAACUUUACCAUCGUUCGAGUUGCCUUUGGCUUUUUUUCUAUAUAGUCAAAAGAAACUUUCAUAAAGGAAAAUAGAGUUGUCUUUUUCAUUAAAGAUAAUAUUGAAGUCCACAUCACUCAAAUUUCAUAAGAGAUUUAUUUGAGAUUUAUUAGAUAUUGCUUGAUGGAUAAAUUUGACUUGUAGAAAAAUAAUUCUAAGAGGAAAAGAAUUUUUAAGAGAUAAGUUUAUAUGACUAUAAAUAGUUGAAGUUUUUAUAGGAUUAAGUAUGAGACAAAGAUGUAAGAGAAUUGUAAGGUUUUAUGAAUAGAUACCCCAUAAGAUUACUAAAAAUUUACUUCUUAUGAGUGUGUAUGUUUGAAUAUUUGUGAGUAAAUUAGAAGAGACUAAGAAAGUUCGCAUAGCUAUGAUAUAUGGGUGCUUAUGGGUGUGUGCUUGGUUGUGUUAAAAAAGUGUACAUGGAUAUGUGUUUGUUUGAGUUGAGAAUAUUCCGUAGGAUUAGAGAAGAUUGAGAGGAUCUAUGGGUAUUAAUUGUUACUUGGUUGAUAUGUUUAAUGUAUAUUUGUAAUUCUCUACAACUAGUGGAUUUUAUUUCUCAUCUGUAGACGUAGGUCAGUUAAACUAAACUACAUUAAAUUAUUAUUUCUUAUCUAUUUGAUUAAUUAUUUGAUUAUGUUUCCGUUGGCUUGAUUGGAUUAAGGCCUUUUUGCCUAACAAUAUGCACCUGCUACUCCUCCAAGUCAUUUCUGAUUAAUUUCCAUUCCGCCUAUGAAUUUCUUGGUGGGUUCCUAGUCAUUAAUUUGAAUAGUAACGACGAUUAGUAAUGACCCUUAUAUUUUAAUUUUCAGAUGGAUGUACAGAGUUUCCAAAAACCAUUUUAUCCAUUGCAAUUUCUUGUUUUACUUUCCAUGGCUGCCAAAGGUUUCUCUGAAGCAUCUUCUUCUAGCUUCAAAUGGAACCAUGAUGUCUUUCUAAGUUUCAGAGGCGAAGACACUAGGAAGAACUUCUCGGAUCAUCUCUACGCAGCUCUGGUGAGACAUGGAGUGGUUACCUUCAGAGAUGACGAUGAACUUCCCAGGGGAAAAGACAUCUCCUCGGAGCUCCUCAAAGCAAUUGAAGAAUCAAAACUUUCUAUAGUGGUUUUCUCUAAAAACUAUGCUUCUUCCAGGUGGUGUCUUGAUGAGCUUGUCAAGAUUAUUGAGUGCAAAAACACAACAGGUCAGGUUGUUAUUCCAGUCUUCUACGAUGUUGAUCCAUCUGAUGUCCGGAAACAGAUGGGAAGUUAUGAAGAAGCUUUUGCUAAACACGAAGAACGGUUUAAAGAUAAGAUGGAAAGGAUCAAAAAGUGGAGAGAAGCUCUUACAGAAGCCGGAAAUUUAUCCGGCUGGGACCUUCGAAACAUGGCAAACGGGUAAUAUUUAAUUUCUAAGAUGAAUCAUCCAAAAAAUUCUAAGAUAUAUAUAUAUAUAUAUAUGUGUGUAUAUAUAUAUAUAUAUAUAUAUAUAUUUACAUCUUCGUUUUUAAACAAAAAAAUUAAAUGAAACUAAUUUUAAUUGCUAGUUAGUUCUAUUAAAAUUAUAUUAUGUACUUAAUUUUAAGUUCUUGUAGUCAAUUUAUAUCUUACUAUAAUUUUUUUCUUUUAUGUUUGACGAUUUAAACCUUAAAAUUAAAAGCGGAAAUUCUACUCAAACUAUAAACACCUGAAAAAAUGUGUAAUUUAUUUCUGUUGUAAAAUUGUUUGUUUGAAGUGUAUAAUGAGAAUAUAUCAUAUAUAAUUAUUGGAGUAUAAUUAAUCAAUUAUAAUUUAGUAUUGUGAAGUGUCCAUCAAAAAACUAUUUAAAUCUCAUUAUAUUUUAAGUGAUGAACUCUUAAAUAAUAUUUUAUUAUAAUUGAUUAAUUGUAGUAAUGUAAUCAAGAUAAUUAUAAAAAUUAUAUAGCCAAAAGUGGGUGUUUACUGAUAGUCAAAUUUACUUAUGUUUUUCUUGUGUUCUUUCAUAUGUUUUUCUUGGGUUCCUUCAUCGCAAAUGAUUUCACAGGUAUGAAUCGAAAUUCAUCCAAGAGAUUGUCGAUGAUGUUAUCAGAAAAUUUAACCGCAAUAUUCACAAUGGCUUGCACGUCGCCACUCACCCAGUAGCUCUAGAAUUACGUAUCAAAAGGGUGAUGAAAUUACUAGAUAUUAGAUCUGAAGAAGUUCGCGUAGUGGGCAUCUAUGGAAUGAGCGGGAUAGGUAAGACCACCAUCGCAAAAGCUGUCUACAACCUAAUGGUCUGUGAAGGAUUUGAAGGAUGCAGUUUCCUUUCAAAUAUUGAAGAUGACUCGCAGCGACCUAAUGGUCUUGCUAGGAUGCAAGAGAAGCUCCUUUCUGAUAUCUUGAAUGGGAAAAAAUUCAAGAUAGAUUAUACUGACAGGGGUGUCAAUUUAAUCAAGGAGAGGCUUUGUUGUAGAAGAGUUUUUAUAGUUCUUGAUGACUUGGUUGAGUCAGCACAAUGGAGACCACUAGUCGGUGAUAGGAAGUGGUUCGGUCGAGGAAGUAGGAUUCUCGUCACAACCAGAGAUGAACAUUUGCUGACUGAAUUAGAGGUGGAUGAAAGAUAUAAGGUUCAACAAUUGAAUCAUAAGGAUUCAAUUCAGCUUUUAAGUUGGUAUGCAUUUAGGAGGCCUGCUCCAGAUAAAGAUUUCUUCGAACUUUCCAACAGUUUGGUGGAGCAUGCUGAAGGACUGCCGUUAGCUCUUGAAAUUUUUGGUUCUUCUUUGUUUAAAAGAAGCCUACCAGAAUGGGAAAGUUUUCUGGAAAAAUUACAGAAGGUACCUCACCAAAAAAUUCAAAAGAAGCUUAGGAUAAGCUUUGACACACUAGAUGAUGAUUUAUUGAAAGCCAUAUUUCUUGAUAUUGCAUGUUUCUAUAUUGGGAUGGAUAAAGAUUAUGUGAUGACAAUACUAGAUGGUUGUGGAUUCUUUCCAGAAAUUGGUAUGAAAGUUCUUCUUGAAAGGUCUCUUAUAGCAAUUAACCCAUUUAAUAAGCUAGAAAUGCAUAACCUACUCCGAGACAUGGGAAGAGAGAUUGUUCAUGAAGUAUCACCAUCUCACCCAGGAUAUCGCAGCAGGCUUUGGUUUCACCAGGAUGUAGUAAAUGUAUUAACGAAACACAUGGUAAAAUGUUAAAUGCAUUUCGUAAAUAAAUCUAAAAAUGUGCUAUACUUAACUAGAAUUAAUAAUAUUCUUUAUUUGUAUUUAGGGGACGGAAGCUGUGGAAGGUCUCAGCUUAGGUGUGCCAGCACUAGAAGAUGAUCUUAUAAGCACCAAAGCAUUUGCGAGGAUGAUCAACUUAAGAUUGCUGCAAAUCGAUUCUGUACAUUUCACCGGUUCCUGUGAAAAAAUUUCAAAAGAAUUAAGAUGGCUCUGUUGGCGUCGAUGUCCACUAAUGGUUCUACCGCCCAAUCUUUAUCUAGACAACUUGGUUGUUCUUGACAUGCAAUACAGUAGUAUCAAAAAAGUUUGGAAGGAGACAAAAGUAAUUAAAAUCACUCUCACAAUGCUAUGUUUUUUCUUUUUAUUUUGAUAUUCUAGAUCUUUUUUUCCUUAGCGCAUAUUAUGGAUUUACUGUUAUUUUCUUUUUCUUAUUUCAACAGGCUCUUCACAAGCUUAAAAUACUAGAUCUGAGCUAUUCGGUAUACCUUGGAAAGACACCAAACUUUGCAAAACUCUCAAGCCUACGAAGACUUGAACUUGAAGGUUGCACAGGUUUAGUUGAGGUUGAUCAAUCUAUUGGACAUCUGGAAAAACUUGAAUUCUUGAAUUUGGCAGAGUGCAAGAACAUAAGUGAACUUCCAGACAGCAUUUGCAACUUAAGGUCUCUUGAGACAGUGAACCUCAAUGGUUGCUCAAAACUUUGUAAUUUGCCAGAGCAUUUGGGUAAAUUGGAAGCUUUGAGAAAGCUUGUUUUAAGUGGAUCUGCUAUUACAGAGUUGCCUACUUCGAUCGGACUUUUGAAGAACCUUGAAGAUCUAUCUUUGGCUGGACUUAGAAAAGAGUUACCUUCUAAGUCUUGGUUCUCAUACUUUUCCUCAUGGAUCUCACCAAAAAGUAGUGUGGGUUCUUCUUCUUUACUGCUACCAGCAACGUUCUCUCAGUUAAGCUCAUUAAGAAAGCUUAAUCUUUGUGACCUCAACUUGUCUGACCAUGAAAUUUCCAUUGACUUUGGGAGUUUCCAUUUUUUGUGGAGUUUGGAUUUACAAGGAAACAACUUCUGUAACCUACCCGCAGGAAUCAGCAACCAUCCAAGGUUAGAGAGACUUGUAUUGAAUAACUGCAAAAACCUUAGAUCCAUCACGGAGCUUCCUAAAAAUUUAACGGCCUUAUACGCAAAGCAAUGCACAUCAAUUGAGAGAUACCCAAACUUAUCAAACAUUGGUAGAAAACUUCUUAGAAUCGCAAUUAGUAAUUGUCGCGAAGUAGCUGACAUUCAAGGUUGGGAUUUUCGCUCAUUUCAGAAAUUGUCUUCUUCUUGGCCUAUUGGACGAGAUCUUAACCAGCCAGAGGUCUUUCUCUAUCUCUCUCUGUAUACAUAUAAUAUAUAUUAUCAUGCAUGAUAAUGUUCAUAACUACUAGUAUUUCUUUGAAACAGAAGUCGUUGUAUUCCAAGUUUAAGUAUUUGGAAGCUUACUUCCCAGCGAGAGAGGUGCCAGAUUGGUUCGACUAUAAAGAAAUUGGAUCUUCGAUACUGUUUUGUAUGCCUUCAAUCCCGAUUGGUUUAGAUCGAGGUAUGAUUGUGUGCGCAAUCUAUUCGGUCAAUGAAGAAUGCAAUGACGAAAGCACUUCUACAGCUUCUCUUACCAUAUAUUUUAAGAAUAAAACAAAGGGCUGUGAGACUUUUGAUAGGUCACAUGGUUCCCUCGAUGGGAAUAUAUUGCAAGAUCACGCGUGGGUGAGUUACAUGGCACCUAGUUUGAACGAUGAUGUAAAAUCUUUUAUCGACGAUGUAAACGCUGAAGAAGGAGAUGAAAUUGAAGUUUCAAUUGAGCCGCAUGGUGGAAUUCUUGUGAAGAAAUGUGGUAUUCAUCUGCGAAUUCAUGGGUAGAUGAGGGUAAGUUUUAAGAGCCUUCAUUGAUUUAUUUUAUUUAUUGUUGAGACCAAUAUUAAUUUUAUUCAUUGUCAAUAUCAUAAUAGGGAAAUUUUUCAGAAAUAAAUUACGUUUUAAAGAUUCAUUUGCAUGAUUAUUGAGAGAUCAAUGAUUGAAUGGUAGUUUAAUUAUAUAUAUUGAAAAAAAAAGUUAAAAAUAUUGAUAUCAAAAUUAUUGUACAAAUAUUUUUAAAAUACGAAAUCACAUUAAAAAUAAAUGUAAAAUUUAUAACAAUUAUGAGUGAAUAUGAAAAUUUUAAUUUUUAUUAGCAUUAUCUUAUUUUUGUUUUAUUUUUAAUUUAAUAUAUUUCAAUUAAACUAGUAAAAUUUCUAACUACGUUGCUAAUAAUCAAUUCCUUGUAAGCCAAUCACCCAGCCAAAAUCAAAUUACUCCAAUACUGAUGCAGAAUAAAAAAAAUCGUUGAAGAUUUUUUUUUACGGUCUAUAAAUAUGUGAUUAUGUUUAAAGUUAAGAGCAUUAUUUUGUAAGACAUUGAUAAAUUAUUAUAUGAAAUCAUGUUUCUGUUAAAAAAAUUAACUACUAUUUAUUAAUUUUUCAUUUUUAAAAUGAUUAUCAAAUACAAUAUAAAUCUAAUAAAAUUAAUUUCAAAAGAUAAUAAUUAAUGCAACAAUAUAAUUAUAUUCACUCCAAACGAAAUUGAAAAUAUAUAAAACCAAAAAAUCAGCUUAAUUUUUUCCACUAUUUAGAAUAAAAAUAUAUAAUUAUAUGUUUUCAUUUAGUUAUUGAUUUUCUUGUAUUAAAUUUAAAUUUAAAUCUUUGCAAAUGAGUAUAAAAUUUUCUUUAUAGCAUGCUUUAAGACAAUUGCAAUAUUCAUUACCAUCCAAUAUACAUUACACCUUUUAUUUGAAAUAUUCAAACUUGCCACUGACGAUCAUUGACCAUAUUAUUCCCACUAACAAUCUCUUCCAUAUAGCAAUAAUUUUGUGGUUUCUAUAGUUUCAUAUAAUAAAUUUUUUAAUUUAAAAUUUUAAGUUUUGAUUAUAAAAAUAUGAAAUAUGCAGUAAAAAAUUAAAGAAUUUUAAAAUAUUGCUUGUAAAAAAAUAAAAAAAAUUAUAAAAAAAGUUGAUUUUAAGUGAAAUAAAUUUCAAUUAUUUAGACUCAAAUAUUAUUUAAUUUUAUUUAAAUAUUAUUAUUAAAUGAGAUAUGAUAAUAUAUAUAUCUUUAUUUAAACUUCCUUAGGUAACUACAUGUUGAUCUACCAUAUUUAUUUUCCUCAUUUUAUAUUGAAUUUUUAUAUUUUUAUAUUAAAUUUACUAAUUAUAUUAUAAUUGCAUUUUCAUAUAUAUAUAUAUAAUUGCAUAAAUUAAUUUAAAUAAUAUCCAAAUUCAAAAAAAUCCACGAUGCAAAAAUAAUUUUAAUUUUUUCCGACAUAAAAUUAACCGACGCAAAGCCGCCGUUGAUACGGCCCAAUUUGACGCAACUUGACGCUUCUUCCAUUGACCCCUUUCCAUAAACCUUUUCUCUACUAAACGAUAAAGCACCUUUCAAAAUGGACACAACCGCACCAUCCACAACCCGAGGCGGUGGCGGCGGAGGUGCACCUUUCCUCCUAAAGACAUACGACAUGUAGAGGACUCUUCGACCGACGAGAUCGUGUCAUGGAGCUCCAGCAAAAACAGCUUUAUCGUUUGGAAUCCUCCUGAAUUUGCCCGCCUUUUGCUUCCCACCUAUUUCAAGCACAAUAACUUCUCCAGCUUCGUCAGGCAGCUUAAUACCUAUGUGGGUUUCUCUUCUUUUUGCUUUUUUUAAAGGAUUUUCUUUCUGGGUUCUUUUAUUCAUUUAACUUGAUUGAAUUCUUUGAUAAUUCUGGGAAAUUAUGGGUUUUUAUUUACCGUUUAACUUCAUUUCUUCAUGGGUUUUUUAUUUGGAACUGUAACAAUUUUGAUUUAAAGCUGAUUAGGAUAUCUUGGCCUGGAGCCGGCACAAAAAUUUAAGGUCGACCAAUGUCUUCUGUUGUCAUUUAUAAGGUGAUUUCUAUGAGGGGUGGGUCGUUUUCUUGGUCAAUGAACUAUGGAGGUGAAUCAACCUUGUACAGAAACAUGGGGAUUGUAAUUAGUCUUUUCUAAUUUGGAUUUAGGAAUCUUCUGCGUAAUUGUUUCAGAUUUUCAUUUUUCUUUAUUGUGCAUUUCUUCUAUGAAUAACAGAAACUUUUGAUCUUUUCUAGUGAAGAGAAUUGUUCUUCAUUGAAUCGGAGCUUAGCUCAGUUGGUUCAUGUAGCUACUUUAUGAGUUGGCAUCCGGUAGGUCUAGGAUUCAAAUCCCAAUAUCGCAACCAUUUCCCCUAUCUCUAGGUUUUGGGCUCUUUGUAUAAAAAAAAUUGAUCCGUCACUAAGGUAUCACUUGCAUGUUUAUCUUCGAUUCAUAGGCUGUUCAUAUGAAUGUUACCAAUAGUUUUCUAUUACCUUUAGUUUGCUUAGGUUAGAUAUAUGAGGAUUGGAGUGGUUAAGAAUGAUCUGAGUGCAUACGAAUGUAAUUUGGCAACAGGGGUUCCAUAAGAUUGAUCCUGAAAGGUGGGAAUUUGCUAAUGAAGAUUUUGUGAAAGACCAAAAGAAUCUUCUUAAGAAUAUCCACCGUAGAAAACCUAUAUACAGCCACAGUAAUCCUCAUGGUUCUAUGAUAGAUACGGAAAGAGCUGGAUUUGAAGAAGAAAUAGAAAAGCUUUAAAGUGAGAAAGCUGCACUUGAGGCUAAUGUUUUGAGGUUUAGACAAGAGCAAUCAGCUGCAAAGCAUCAAUUGGAAGAACUGACACUGUGAGCUGAUCAAAUGGAGCGGAGGCAGGACACUUUGUUUGAUUUCUUACAAAAGGCUGUUCAAGACCGUACUUUUGUUGAACAUCUUGUUCAUAAGAUUGAAUCUAUGGAUGUUGCAGCAUACAAUAAGAAAAGACGAUUGCCUUAUAUUGAUCAAACCAAGCCAGUUGGAGAAAAUAGUCUUUUGGAGAACAACAGUAGUUCUGGACCUGAGAUAGGAAAUAUUUUGCACCAAAGUUUCUCAAACAAGCUAAGACUAGAAUUGUCACCUGCUGUUUCAGAUAUUAACUUGGUUUCUAAUAGCACACAAAGUUCUAAUGAAGAUAGAGCAAGUCCACAGAGAAGGGUCUGUGAAGGAGAACCAAAGGAUGCUCAGACCAGAUCAGAGGGCCUUUUAUUCGCACCUGAAACGUUAGAUCUUUCAGAUACGGGUGCAUCUUUUACAUUCAAAAUGGAUUCAUCUUUCACGCAGAGAGUACAAAUGAAUGAAAUCCCAACAGUACAUUCCCUGCAACAGAGAUUAAAUUCCAAUGAAGAACCUGAUAGUCGUGUUUCCUGUCAAUUAAAUCUAACUCUGGCAUCUUCAUUACAAGUCAAUAGAAGUCCUAGCUUAACUAUGAUGUCCCAACAACGUCGGUAAAUUGUAAAAGUCCCAGAGUUAGGAUUUGAUGCCAACACUAAAGACUCUGAUACUAGAGCUUCUGGGAACACCAGAAACAUGAUUGAUGAGUAAGCAACAUUUUCUUCACCAAAAGAAGGCCCUAAUACAAAUCAAGAGCCUACGACUGCUCCAGUUAGAGCGAAUGAUGUAUUUUGGGAACAGUUCCUUACGGAAAGACCAGGCUCCUCUGACAAUGAAGAGGCCAGUUCUAAUUAUCAAGCAAACCCAUAUGAAGAGCAGGAAGACAAAAGAUUGGGUCAUGGACCACCAAGGAAUGCUAAAAACAUGGAGUAGCUUAGUCUUUGAGCAGCAAAAUUGCCAAUUUUCCAUAAAUCCAGUGACAAAUCUAAAAAGGUCUCUCUUACACCUUUUCUAAAAUCGUUUUGAUUAAAAUAAUGUUGGACUCCAUUUGUGUUUCCAUGUUGAUAUAAGUGCUCACAUUGGAGAGAUAACAACCUUUUGGCAUUAGUGAAAUCAAAUUAUGUAGUUGUACCAUCUAGUUUUCAAGUUUUCAGUACCUAAUUAACAGGCACUUAUCUUGAGAAACUGAAGUAAUCUGCUUUUCUUUUUCCUGUAACAAAACUGAAGUCUCUUAUUACUGUUGCAUUUCAUUUCUUAAUUUUCCGAAGUUUUCAGUAACUAGAACUUUCAUUUUUGGCAAAUUGAAGCAGAAUCGAUGUCUCUGUCUUAAGAUGGUCAUCUGACAUUUCAUCUCAUAGAUUUUGAAUGUUGUUUGUUGUUGCAUCAGUCUUGAGAUAUCAUAGUUUUCCCUUUCGACCAAUUGAUGUAUAGAUUAUUCAUUAGUUGGUGCAGUGAACAUUAUGCAUGAUACAAGAUCUUAAAUCUUUUGAGAAAGUAGGAUUCAUCUGAAAAUUACAUUAGCACAAUACAGUGAUAAUGUGAUAGGUAAAAUAAAAAAAUGGAAAACUACCUUUGCUUAUGUGGUUCUUAGAUUUAGAGUAAAAGGGUCAAUUGAGUGUUACAUUCAAGCAUUACUUCAUCUACAUAGGUGUUGCAAGCAAUUAUGGAUGAGUUGGCCUUGACAGGCGAAUAUGAAUACAUAGAGUUAGUUCUUGUGAAAUGAUUAGACAACCCAAGUGCACAGAAAUGCUUUCGUUCUUCCAUAGCAUUGGAAAAAAGUUCUACUUAUGCAACAAAUGCUGCUCUGGUAACCAACCACCGAAAGGAAAUUUUAAUGUCCCUAUGGUUUUAUUGUUAAUCCUCCAUGCUUUUAUCUUAUUGAUAAAAACUUAAAAAUACGUUGGAAAGGGUUGGAGCUUCUAAUCCAACUUGGACUAAAACUGAUGUUUGUGGCUACUGAGAUGUUUCGAAAGGAAGAAAGCAGGCUGCAACAAGUAGGUUAAUCAUUGGGAUAUAUCAAAUGCUGCAUGGAUAGCCGCCCAGUUGUUGCUUAGAGCUCCUAGUCUUGUUAAUUUCCACUUUUAUCAUGUGUUCAACUUAGAGCCGAUAAAUUUGACUUGAAAAUUCCAUCCGAAUCCAAUCCUGAUCUAGUCUGAGUUGAUGAGGAAAAAAAAUAAUAUUUCAGCACAUUCAGGGAAAAUUUUAAAUAUAAUGAAGUUCAAGAAUUUUCUUAUUAAAAUUGAUUUAAUAAAAAAUUUAAAUCGAUAAAUUAAUAUUCAAUAAAAAUCUUAAUAAUAUAUAAAAGAAUUGUGACAUAAUAAUUGUGAGGAAAAUCAAUUAUGACAUAAUAAGCCUAGUAAUACUAGAAUCCUUGGCAAGCAAGAAAGCCAUUACUCUCAUUGCUGACAGUAAAAAAAAUAACAGUCAAGAAAACCAGUUUACAGUUAUGAAGAAGAUACAGACAAACAAUACCAGUCUAAGAUGAUAUGAACACAAUCAUAUAGUAAUUUUUAAAAAAUAAAGAUAUAGAUAUAUUAAGAUACGGUAAUAAAUUUAUAUAUAUAUAUAUAUAUUAUAAUCAUUAAUUAAAAAUAUAUAAUAGAUUUUGAGCUAAUUUUUAAAAGGUAAUUACUUUUGCAUAAAAAAAGGAUGGUAGACACAAUAAUAAAGGAAUUGUUAAUCUAACAUGGAUUUUUAUUUAUUUAAUGUUAUUUUGUUGCAUAAUUUAAUCUUUAAAUGUAUCAAAAACGUCAAAGUAUUUAACAUAAAUAUCGAUUUAAGGAUAUAGAAGGGGUCAUAGGUUUCCGAUUAUCAAUAAUUUUACAUGGUGUGGAAUGUCAACUAGUAAUAUUGGAACUUGAGAUUUUUCCUAAGUAUUCCAUAACACUCUUGAAUCAAUCUAGUUACAGAAGACAUGGGUUUCAAUUUUAGAAGUGUCAAACAUGGUUAGAUAGUUUUAUGUUAUCGAUAUAAUUGGUACGGAUAUUGAUCAUAAUUGACACAUUUAAUUGUUAUAAUAAUGUCGUCUGCUACGCAAAAUUCAUUUAUAUUUGUAUUGUAUUGAGUUAGAAGAUUUAGGUUUAAUUAGAUUGACACAACAUAACCCUCAAGCGUUAAUACCAGCAUUGGACAUAUGGAUUGGCAUGGUAUGACAUACAAUAAUUAAUAUGUCAAGUUGUGCAAGUUCAAUAAAUAAUAUAAAUGAGUUUAGUAUGUAAUCUUUACUUGUAUUUUAUGUUACUCUUAUCAUGCAAUGGACAUUCUUUUAUCCUUUUAAUACUUUAUAUUAGCAAUUUAUAAAAAUUAAAAUUUAUUAAUAAAUUUACUUAUAAAAUAUUUAAACUAUUAAUAGAUAAAAAUUAAAAUUUUUUCAUUUUGAAUAUUAUUUUUUAAAAACAAGAACUAUAAAUGUAUUAUUUAAAAAUUGAUUAUGAAAAACCAAAAAAAAAACACAUAAUAUAAAUGACCGUCAUAUGGUGAAAAUGAAAUGUAAAAUAAUAAUGUGAUAUCUAUUUUUUUAAUUUAAAGAAGUGAUAUUAGUAUUAGUUAAUUUAACAUAUUUGAUGAAUUUUUUAACCCUUUAUUUGUAAAUAUAGAUAUUUUACCGAAUUAUAUAAAUUAUAUGCCUCAUGUAUUAAUUUCAUAUAUUAAUUUUUAAAGAUAGUUGAAAAACAAAAAAAAAAAAUUCCUCAAAAAAAUAAUACAAAAAUUAAGAAACUAUUAAUCGGUCUAUGACUAAAAGAAUAGUGCCAUUUUAGAUGCGACUUGACCCAUAAAGGCUAAAAGUCAUAUGUUGUGUUGGAGUAUACUUUUAGUAUUUAUGAGUCAUAUCAACCCAGCACGUUAAAUAAUAAUGUUGGCUGACAUAACCCAUUGUACACAUGGGCUAUUUUUUUUAAUGAAUUGUACUAGCCUAACACGAUUCAUUUGACACUUUUACUUAGUCUAAAUUCAAGCAUCAUAAUGAAUCAAAUUUACUUUAACUUACAAAUUAAGAUUUAUGGAACUCAUAUAAAAGAAUGUCAACUAGGAAGUACUGGUGAGAUAUUGACUCAAAUCUCAAAAUAUUUGGUGAAAGAUUUUUUUAAAAAAUUAAUUAGAUAUGACUUAAUUGAGAGGAAGACCUAUAAUCGAAGAAUUUUAUAAGAAAAGAAAUUUUUGGUGAGUAAAUUAAUAGUCUUAUAAACAAUGAGAGUCUCAAUAAAAUUAAGUAUAAGAUAAAGACGUAAAAAAAUUAUAAGAUUUUAUCGAGAUAAAAACACAGAAGACUAAAAAAGAUUGAGAGAAUACUUAUAGAUGUGUAUAUUUGAAUGUUUAAUGUGUGAUACUCCAAAGGACUAGAUGAAAAAAAGAGGAUCCAUGAGUAUGAUAAUUCUUAUGUUUGUGAAUAAAUUAGAUAAGAACAAAAGGAUCCACAAAAAUAUGUAUGUGUUUUAUUUAGGAUAGUUAGAGAUUAAUUUGGAAACAUUAAAUAUCAAUUUGGGAUGGUUAAAGAUCGGUUUGGGAUUAAGAUUAUAUGAUUGUAAUUUUUUAUAAUUAAUUAAUUUUUUCUCAUUCAUGAUGGUAAACAAAUUAAAUGUCAAAUUAUAUUGUUAACUUUUAUGUAAAUAAUUUUUUAUUUGAUUUCCUUUCUCUAACUUAAAUAUUUAAUUUAUUAGGAUUUUUUUUUUUUCAUAUCAGAGCAGAUCUAACAAGAACAAUAUGAGAUAGAAUUAUUACACAAUAAAAUGAAAAAAAAAAAAAAACACUUGAUUUCUGUUUCCUAGGUGAUGUGUUAGGUCAAAUCCACAGCUGGAAAUGUUAAAUGGGUUGUAAUGAUAACUAUCCCACUGCCUACUAAAGGUGCAAAAAUAUGGUGGGUAUCUUUUUUCCCUUUCUUCAUUGAUGAGGUUCCUCUUUUAUUAAAGAGCUGCUCCAGUUAUGCUCUAGAGUCCAGCAACAUGGGGAUGCAUUCAAUCCUUUGGCUUUCAUAUUCUUCUCUUCUUCCUUAUUCUCGGCCUUGUUCCAUCCAAUAGUUAACACAAUACGAAUAACUAGGGAAAAGGGAGAUAGGAUAUAUUUAAUCAUGUAUAAUGGAGUCAAUAAAUUUGUUUGGAAAAAUUAUAACUCAAAUUUAAAAUUGAAUGCAAGCAAAUUUAUUCAUUUUGAAUGAUAUUAAUUAUUAGUUUGCACAUUAUUAAGGUAUAUAAUAAAUUGUAAUUAAUGGCCAUUCAUUAAUAAUCAAAGCAUGCCUUAAAAAUUACAAAUGUAAAAGAAUUUAAACUUGUAAUUUUCUCUUCAGGUGAAUUAAAUAAAUAAAGAUUAGAGAGUUAAAAAAGUGAUAUUGCAUGAUCAUAUAUAUAUAUAUAUAAUACAACCAUAUAAAUGCUCUUAUUGAAUUUAAAAUUUUCAUCAUCUAUAUAUAAAAAUAAUUUUUUUUUUUGUAAAAGAUUAAAGAAACCCACUUGUGAAUAUUUUCUCGUGGAGCGUAUGUAGUUUACAUGAUUUCCAAAUGAUUCUUUGAACAUUGCAAAAUAAAAGUAGGGACAAGAUUCUAGCCCCAUAAAAAAGGUUAAAAAGAUGUCAUAUAUUGAAGAUGAGCAAGGUUUACACAUAUAUUAUGUGUAUUUUGAUAAUUAUUUGGUUUGCCAUUUAUGUAGAAGAAUAUAAAUUUGACUUGAAAAUGAAGAAAAAAAAAUCAGUGAUAAAAUGUCAAUUUAAAACUUUAAAAGGCAAAAUUAUAAUUUAUUUAACAUUUAAUCAGAAAAUUUUUUUUUGAAGGAGGUCCCACUCUUUAAUGCAUUUCCAAGCAAAAUGGGAUAAUUUUGUUGGAAACAUAAAUAUAUGUAAGCUUAUGUUGUUUCCAUGUCCUAGGCCUCAUCCAUCACCUCUUCAACAACCCAAAAAGUAUUAAUUUCUAUCCAUGUGAAAGAGCAAAAUCAGACCAACAAAGCUCCAAACUUACUCAGAAACACCCAAAUCCAAAACCAAAAAAUGCCCAUACUCAAAUUCCUGUUCACCACCCUCUCUCUAUCCCUUAUUUUCUUCCAUACCUGUGAUUCUGUUUCAAUUUUAGACCUUGACAAUGCACUGAAAAACAGAGAAGUUGAUGUCAUGGUGAGAAGGGUUUGCACCAAAAAGCUUGAAGAUUGUUUAGAAGAGCAAGAAAUGGAGUCAGAGAGCAGCAGGAGAGUGCUGGUGAUACAAAGGAGGUACAUUAGCUAUGAGACACUGAGGAGGGACAUGGUCCCAUGUGCAAAGCCUGGUGCUUCUUACUAUGAUUGCAAUGCUGGUCAGGCAAAUCCUUACAACCGAGGUUGUGAGGUUAUUACGAGAUGUGCUAGAGGUAUUAAAGAUAUCAAAACCUGAAACCCCAAAAUUGAAGUUUUACCCAUGAUAACUGCUUUGUGAAAAGUGGUAAUGUCUUGGUUGUGGGUUUCUAAGAUUUUUGUUGUCUUUCUGGGUUUUUUCUUUUUUUGGUUUAUGGCUGUAUAUCAAAGAUUCUUACUUUUAAUUUGGCAUUUGCUACAUAUAAAUGCAUGUUUAACUUGAAUUUGGAGAUCCUGGGACUUCCUUGUUAGAGUACUUAAGAAAAUUUACUUGGUGCUUGAUGAGGAAAUUAUGAAUAAUGCAGGUAAUCUUCAUUUUUUGUUUUCUUGGUUUCUGAAAAUCUAUCCUGUAAGAGUUGUUCUGGCCUUUAACAUAAGCAAGAAAUUUUUCUAGAUUUCAAAAUCUUGCUGUCAGAAUGUUUUACAUUUGAAUCACUAUUUUGAUUUCCAUAAUACCCCCAAAUGAGAACCAAAAAUUGUGAUUUUCUGCAUAUUUUUUAACUUUUUCUGCGAUAAAAAAGUGUACCCAGUGGAGAACAGAAGGAAAAAGUUAAUUUCAAUUAAGAUCUGCUCUGUCCUUUCUAAUUAUCAAUCAGCUUCAAUUAAAUCCAGGCACCUCCAGUCUAUCUACUCAUAGACUGAAGAGACUUCAUGCAUACCUUUGAAAAACUGCCCUGGAUACCCACAUAAGAUUGAAUUCAUUAAUUCGACUGAAUGGCUUGCUGUUGUAGCUUGUAGCAUGUUCUGCUAUAGUGCUUAGCUUAGAUCAAUUAAAGUUCUUUAUUCAUUCAACUAGACAUCUCAAUCAUACCUUGCUGUGAAGGGAUCAUUGUAAUUUUCUCAUUAUCUGAUCGUGCAUAAAAUCUCAUUAAAAUACUAAAUAGGUGAUUAAAUAUAUAGGAUACCUGCCUCUAGUUCUAUUCUAUCUAGCCUUGUGGUCCAUUCUGUUUUCCCCUAUGCCCCAACAAAAAUGCAGGAUUUUUCUUUCUGCCUCGAGUUAAAACUAGCUAUUCGAUUAGAGGAAUUUCAUUCCAUUUUAAUUUUAUGUGUUUGAAAAAUUUUCUAUUAGCUUUGAUCAUCACAUGGUGGUAGUGAAAUUAAGAGCUCAUAUAGGUUUUUAUUCCCUGUUGUUUUAUCACACUCAUUGUUGCUUGUUGCUGGUUUCUUUUCUUGCUUUUUUUCAUUCAUUUAAUUGAAUUUGAUAACGGAUCCCUUUGGACAGUCUUCCUUCAAUUUUGUCGAAUGUAAGUCAUUGAACUGAUUCUUCUCCAACAUUGACACAUGAUCAUAAUUGUUUGUAGACCAUAUAGUUACAAAAGAUGUUCUUAUCAGCUAAAUCUUAACUAUAUGUGCUACAAGACGGAUGGAUUUAGAAAUGGGAAGUAAAGAAUUUUACGGAUUUCAAGUUUAUGACAUGUUGUAACUGACCACUAGGAAUAAGGUUGGUUAUUCCUAAUAUUGAACUCCCUGCAGUAUGAACCCGGAGCUUAGCUCAUUUGGUUCAUGCAAUCAUCUUUUACAGUUGGCAUCCAGCAAGUUUGGGGUUCAAAUCCCACUACUUGCAACCCUUUCUUUUAUUUCCAGGCUAUGGCCUGCUUUGUACCCAAAAAAAAAAAAACUCCUUGCUGUAUUUUCUUUUCCAAACAAUAGUGGGAAAAAAAUCUUUGCAGCAGUUGAAAAUCAGUUUUGUUUUCUUUGUGGAUUAUUAUUAUCGGCAUUGCAAAUCAAGAUAUUAAGUUGAUCAGGAAAAUCAUGGCUGUCAUUAAACUUAAGUUUUUCUAGAAUAAUGUCACUGUCUUCAGUUGUUUGUCAACUUUCAAACCCUUUCUUGUUUUACCAAAGUAUUGAUCAGUUCUUAAACCAGCAUUUCAUUUUAUCUUUCUUUUGAUUUAUAAACUGCUAUAAAUAACUACAUUAGAAAUUGUUUUCAUAAACCAUUUGUGAAAAUGCAAAUCAGCAAGCAAAAGGUUAGCAGGUUUGCCCAUCGACCGACUCUAUGGAGUGCCCUAUCUAUUUUUUAUACUUGAGGUCGUCGGAAUUUGAAAUUUGGUCCCUACAAUUAGGAGUCCACCACUUUGAGUUUAUGUAUGACAAUUCAAUUAAUCACAUCCUCAUUCAUGAGGUAUAUAAGAUAUAAUUAGAUUAAACAAUUAAUUUAUUCAGUAUUCAACUCUCUCUCUCUACCUUCUCUCACUACUGUUACUCUCUCUUGCCUUUUUUUUCCUGGAGUAUCAUCUCCACAUCCCUUGAUUUUCUUAUUUUUGUUGGGUGAUAAACGUUCUACUUCUUACCUUUCAGUGAUCUUCUCGACCAUCACAUAUACUAGGAGUUAAAUAACAAUCACAGAAAAUGGUAUCAAAAUCUUUUAUAAAUUGGCGAUUUAUAGGUAUGUACUCUCAUCCUAGGUGAACAAACUAAGAACAAUCCAUAGACCACAAGCCAAGAAAGAGUAAACAACGAAAGGAAACAAAGGAGUCCAGAAAACAAUGCCAGAAAAGAACAAUAAGUAGAAGACGAAGUUAAAAGAGAAGAAGACAUAACUGUUUAAAUGACUCUAGGGGGCCCUCAUCUCAGCAUGUCAGCAUUCAUGGUGAGGAGUGUUAAGACACAGUACGCCAGGCCAGGUGGGACAACAGCCCAUUUAAUUGGACAUGUCCCCUUCAACUGCCUGCACUGUCUUCCUUUUUCCCUCGUUUGCUUUUCUGCUUUUUGGCGCGGUGAGAUUGGGUUAAGUGGUAAAAGUGUGCUUCGAAAUAAUGAUAUACAUAUAAAAAUAGAAUUAGAAGUAAAAUGAUUUAAAAUUUUAAUAAUAAUUAUAUGAGUUUAAUAAAAUUUAAAAAUAUAUAUUUUAUAUUUUUAUCUUGAUAUUAAUUAUGAUACAUAAUUUUAUAUAAAAUAUAAUAUAAAUAUAUAAAUUUUAAUAAUUUAUAUAAUACAAAUAUACGAAUUAUCAAUUCUAUGUGUUUUUUUCUUUGUUACUUAAGUUUAAAUCCGAUAAAAAAGUUGUAAUCUAUAAAAAAACAUGUUUUUAUGAACUCGUUAUAUUAAUAUACGUAGGUGACUGAUUUAGAUAGGAGUGCAUUAGACAAAGCCCAUCCCCCCUCUCGGCUAAAUUAAAAAAAAAAUGCGACAAAUAAUUUUGGGUUGGUUGCCUACAUCCCUGUAACUAGCACCCAUUCGGCUGGUUGUCCACAUGGUCUUAGGCGUAAUCUAUCCUCGUGGUCUUCUGAUAAAGCAAACUGUUUGUUGAGGAUCCUGGGUUUAACCAAAACCCAAUUCAUGACUCGAGCAUUAUCAAGCUCGCAACUUUGGUUUGGAGCACAAAAUUGUUCAUGGCAAACUACAACUAAUAUCUUCCAUGAUAACAAUGGCAAUUCGGGACAGUAAAAAACUACAGCCUAUACGUAGUACAGCAAGUUAAACCUUAGAAACAUAGAUGGAAGACUGGUUUAGGGACAAAGAGAGAUAGGACUUCCAAAAUAUAUGCCUUAUAAGCAACCUCAAAUGAAGUUAUAAUGAGACCAUAAUGACUGUAAAAGGAAGGCACACUGAAGCCUCUCAACCAUGAACGUUAAAUGGGUAUUAGUUCAUUUGCACCCUUUAUCCUCCUCAUUUUAUCUCCAUCUUAGUUCUUUUUCGCUGGGAAAAUCUUAAAUUACUAAAGAGAAAGGGGUUAGUGCUUCCAUCUCAUAUUCAUUUCAAAGCCCAAGCAUGUCAGCAUUUUUAUUAGCUCAUUGGUUCUUUGAUGGAGAGAAUAGGCUGGCUAGUAAAGGUGGGGUCAAGGUGCACUGAAUUUUGGGUUGAUAGGAGGGUCCAGACAGGAGACCUGCCAGAUGCCAACAAACCUUAUUGUUUAUAGAUCCAUUUAGGAGCCCGGUUAUAGGCCGGUUGUAGGGAUUUUAUCGCAUCAAAAGAUACGUUUUUAAUAUUCAACUACAGAAAAUAUUUUUGAAAAAUAUUUAUAUUUUUCGAAAAAAAUGGAGAUUUUUUAUUGUUUAAAUUAGUUAACGAAAAUACCUUUUAUUAUUUAGUUAUUUUUUGAAAAAUUUGUUUUUUUUUUCAAAUAAUGUUAAUGUAACUAUUAAAAUAUUAAAAUUUAUUUAUUAUUAAAGUAUAUAGAAAUUAUUUAUUAUUAAAAUUAUUAAUUUUCAAGAAUAAUUAUAUUUUAAUAAUUAUAUUUUAAUAAUAUUAUUAAUAUAUUAAAAUAUUAUAUUAAUAUAAAAUACUUAAAAUAAAAUUAUUUGUUAUUCUUUAUAUUAAUAUUGUAAAAUAUUUAAAAUAGUAUUAUUAUUCUUAAAAUAUUAUUUUUAUUAAUUUAAAAUAGUAAAAUUUAUUAUUAAAGUAUUUAUACUAUUAAAAUAUUUAUAUUUUAUAUUGAAAGUAUCUAUUAUUAAAUCAUAACCAAAAUCUUUUUUAUUUAUAUUUAUUUUUAAAAUAUUGAUAUAAAUAAUUUAAUAAAUAAAAUAAAAAUUAUAUAUUUUAAAGUAAAAAAUGAUAAAAAAUAAAAAUAUGUAUAAAGAAAAUAAUAUUAUUAUAUUAUGCAGCAUUAAUUAUUAAAAUAAUUAAAAUAUUAUUAAAUGUUAUUUUUUUAUUAUUAAAACAAUAAUAUAAUACUAUUUAUUAUUGAAAUACUAAAAAUAUUUAUGUUUAAUAAUAUAUAAAAUUAAAAUAUUUAAAAUUAAAAUAUCAAAAGACUUUUAAUAUUAAUAUUUUAAUAUUUUAAAUAAAAUUAAAUAAAAUAUUUUAUUAAUAUAAUAAUAUUUUAAUUUAAUCAAAUCAAGUUUAGGUUUAAAAUAUUAUGUUUAGAAUCUUAUUUGACUAAAAUUAUAAAAAAAUAUUUAAUGUUAAAAUAUUAAAAGAAUUUUAAUAUUAAUAUUUUAACUUUUAAGUAAAAUUAAAUAAAAUAUUAUUUAUUAAUAUAAUAAUUUUUUAAAUCGAAUCGAAUUAAGUUUAAAUUUUAAAAAUCAUAUAUUAAAUUCAAAUAAAAUUAUAUUCAAAUAUAUUGAUAAAUAAUUUUACUCAUAAAUAUUUUUUAAAAAAAUUAUUUUUUUUCAAAAAAAUAAAAUAAUUUUUAAAAAAAUAACAUUAUUUUCUAUUGAUCAACAAUUUAAUUUUUGUUAAUCAAAUAAUUUUUUACCAAAAUAAAUACUUAAAAAUAUAAAAAUUAUUUUCUAUGAAACAAAUAAAGUCUAUAUACAUACUUCACAGUAUGAAUCAUAAAUGCAUCUUGUGAUGAGAAAUUUUCAAUCGAACUCUGUAACUCAUGUAAAAGGACGACGACACUCCUCUUUUCCUUCCAUUUUCCUUGAGAAAACAAAGAAAAUUUAACCCACUAAUAUUUCAUUUUAUUUUCUUAAUAGCUGCAAUCAAAUCUUCCUUUUCAACUUCAAUAAUGCGCAAGCGACAACAGGCGAAGAAAAUAUGGCUAUUGUCGCAAAACAUGUACUACUAUUAAAAUUAUCCAUCGGGAAAAGUCUUCGUUUUAUAUGGAUUACGAACAGACAGCCACCAACCGCAACUAUAAAAAUAUCUCAUAUAAAAUAAGAAAAACCUGCCACCACAAACCAUUUUUGUCCAUUACUCCACCACGCAAAUAUCCUAAUCUUAGGUCAAAGGGUUUUGUUUCACUUGUAAAUUUCCUAUACAUAAAUCCAAUAGACCUGGCUAGUGGCAAAGGGGGUCGGUAAACAGGCAGGACCGCAAUUUGGUUUUGGAAAAAAUAAAGCACCAAAAAAAAAGUACUAAAAAUUACAACUUAAUAAAUAUUAAAAUUAAAAUUUAUUCAUUUUCUUUCAAUUUUUCCAUGUUUUUUCCAAACCCACUUUUAUUAAUGUUUACCAACACUCGAUAAAGAAAUAGAAAGUGAAAGUUAAAGCAAAUUGCUCCUCUUUUUAUGAUAAUUAAUUGAUAACCAAAUGCAGCAAAACUAGACUGCAUCAAUGGCAAUAUUAUCUCCUCACACACCCCAACACCUUAUUCAAACCCAUCUAGUCUUCUUCAAGGAGAGACCAAUCCUUUUUGUCCUCCCAAACUUUCCAACCAUCCAAACAGAAACUCCUACAAAAUUCAAACCUAACAAUCUAACCACAAACCAUCGAUAAAUUUUGGUAAAAAGAAACGAUCAGAGCAUCCGUGUGUAUUGUUUUUCUCGACGAACUCUUAUGAUCUCUCCUCAGUACCUGUAGUGAGGAGGCUUGUAAGGUCCUUCAAUGGGCACGCUAAUGUAAUCAGCUUGUUCCUUGGUGAGCUUGGUAAGCUUAGCUCCAAGCUUGCCAAGGUGAAGAGCAGCAACUUUCUCAUCAAGGUGCUUGGGCAAAACAUACACCUUCUUCUCAUACUUGCCGGUUCCCUUCUCCUUCCACAGCUCAAGCUGAGCAAUCACCUGGUUUGUGAAUGAGCAAGACAUGACAAAGCUAGGGUGGCCAGUGGCACAACCCAAGUUCAUGAGACGCCCCUCAGCCAACACAAUGACGCCACUAUUGGUUUCAGGGAAGACCCACCUAUCAGUUUGAGGUUUGAUGGUGAUGCGCUUAACACCGGGACAGUUCUCAAGACCAAGCAUGUCGAUUUCAUUGUCGAAGUGACCAAUGUUGCAAACAAUGGCAUUGUUCUUCAUCUUCUUCAUGUGAUCAACCAUGAUGAUGUCCUUGUUACCGGUUGUAGUUACAAAGAUAUCAGCCUGAGAGACAACAUCCUCAAGUGUCAGAACAUUAAGUCCUUCCAUAAGAGCCUGAAGGGCACAGAUGGGAUCAAUCUCAGUGACAACGACGCGAGCACCAGCUUGCUUCAAGGCAGCAGCACAGCCCUUACCAACAUCACCAUAACCACAUACAACAGCAAUCUUGCCAGCAAUCAUGACAUCGGUAGCUCUCAUCAAACCAUCAGGAAGAGAGUGACGGCACCCGUACAAGUUAUCAAACUGUUCCAAAAGAUCAAAUCAUAGCAGCAAUCAGAUCAGAAUCCAGAAAUGACAAUUAAAUACCACAAUUCAAUUAACGAACAAAAGACUAUUAGCUGGGCAAUGGGAAUCUAACUAACAACUACCUAUGAAAUCAUAGGAUAAAACAAAAUAAAGCCUUCCAUUAAUUCUUAAAAUCAAGAUCUAAGAACAAGUUCACAAAAAACCCAAGUUGAAAAUCGAAAGAAAACAUCACUAACAGUGAAAACAGAGCUAGCAAACACCAGAUCUGAAGCAAUUUAAAAAAAAAAUGAAUUGUCAUUUUUGAAACCAUUUUCAUCAGAUCUGCAUGACAAAUCACCAGAUCCGUUGUGUAAGAAGUUGAAAAGUAUAGCAACAAUAAGAAUUGAGAAAAAAUAAACCUUGCUCUUGGUGACAGAGUCAUUGACAUUAAUAGCAGGGAACAACAAGGUUCCAUUCGCCUGCAUCUGAUAAAGCCUCUUAACGCCAGUUGUAGUUUCCUCAGAAACACCAACCAAUCUCUCCUUCAUCUUCGAAUACUUCUUGGGAUCUGUCUUCAACCCAUCUCUAAUUAUCGUCAAAACAAUCUGAAACUCAGCGUUAUCCGUAGAAGACGGAUCUGGGAGCUGCCCAGUUUUCUCAUAAACCUCCUCGGCUUUAACUCCUUCAUGGAUCAACAAAGUAGCAUCCCCACCAUCAUCCACGAUCAGAUCAGGUCCACCAGUGGGACCCCAGUCGAGAGCUCUCUCAGUACACCACCAGUAUUCCUGGAGAGUCUCACCUUUCCAGGCGAAUACAGAGGCGGAUUCACGAGCGAUGGCGGCGGCGGCGUGGUCUUGGGUUGAGAAAAUGUUGCAAGAGCACCAACGGACUUCGGCUCCAAGGGCAGUUAGUGUUUCGAUAAGAACAGCGGUUUGGAUC
RNAcentral lists this long non-coding RNA (75967 nucleotides) under Durio zibethinus. RNAcentral's name for it is "long non-coding RNA (DZIB_LNC001567)". The record is from RNAcentral. Lineage: Eukaryota; Viridiplantae; Streptophyta; Magnoliopsida; Malvales; Malvaceae.